UCACAAGGACACUUACUACCUUUCUCUUCUAUCUACAAUAAAACCUCUAUAAAUAAAUAAUGUUAGGAACAUGAAAAAAUAUACUUUAGAGAGAAUAGUAUAUUAUCGAUAAAUGAAAAUAUUCAUUUUUCAAUAGUUAUUCAUGCACUCCCUAUUUGGCCUCACCCUCACAAGGACACUUACAACAUUUCUCUUCUAUCUACAACAAAAUUUUUAUAAAUAAAUUGUCACAUCCCGAUCCUUAAAUUUUUACCUUAUUUACUAGCUUGUUUAUAAUAAGAAUUUUACCGUCUCCGUCAAUGAAGUUAUAGUUUAAUUGGUCCCUAGAGGGGUUUCGGGGGACGAUUAUUUCGGAGAGUUAUUCGUAGGAGAAAAAUAUGACGACGGUAAAAAUGGUAAAUUUUAGCUAGUAAAAGGUAAUUUUUUAUUAGGGUAUUAUUUUUGGGGUGUAAAUUUUGGUAAAGUUGGGUAUAAUUAUGGUUUGGAUCGGGUGUGAAGGCCCAAGUCCUUUCUCUCUUCCUCUCUCUUUUCUUCUCCUCUUCCUCCCGAUCCCUCUCCCGAGUUCUCUCUCCCCGGCUAACUUCCGGCCGUCCACCUACCGCCGUCCGGCCACCGUUCGCCGCCGCUCCGGUCCCGUUCGAUCGGUCUCCAACCCAGCAUCCUCCCUGGCCCGGUGACAGCUCCCCUAGCGCCGUCGUGAGUGAGGAACGACGCCCAAAGCCGUUGGAAGCCGUGGUGGUUCGCUCGCCGGAGCUCUCUCCUCCAGCCACCAAAACCGGCGAUCCUUAGCUCAUUUUGUAGCCCUCCUCCCGUGCAGCAACCCCUCCAAAGAGCUCAUUCUCUCUUGAGCUAGGUAAGGAGAAAUGUGGAGUUGAAAUUUCUAGGGCUUUUAGGAUGUUUUUAGUCGAUUACCCUAGUUAGGCUUGGAAUUGGUGUUUGUGCUAGUUAAGAGAGUUGUAGAGCAUGAUGAGAGGAUUAUUCUGUCAAAAUUUCAUAGGCAUUGGAGGUCGCCGGAAUCGGCCUCCGGCCGCUGCUGCCGGCGUUGUUUGGGAGAUUUUUAUGGUUUUAAAUGUGGAUUAUUAAUGGGUGUUUAUUGAAGUGAAUUAUGGAAUUUUUGGAUGAGUUUUGGAUAGGUUUGUGAUUUUCCGAAGUUUCGUAUUUUGGCGGUUAAAUAAUGUAGAAUCCGGCCGUAGGAUUUAAGUCAUAUUUUAGGGGAGGUUGUAUUUACGGCUGCCGGUAUGUUCGGUGAAGGUUGAGCCAUUUUGAGUUAAGAAUGGUGUAGAUGGGCAAUGAUGGGUGUGUGGGAGGCUCACGUUUAAUUUUGCCCAUUUUGUUUAAUUAUUGGAUCUUUAGUGGGAAAUUAAUAUUAUAUUUGGAACAGGACGUGAGGAGGCUCGAGCAGACGAGGCCCCAGAUCGACAUCAGGCUUAGGCCAAAUUUGUGAGUGGACGUUUAUUUUAAAUAAAUGCAUGCUAUAGUUCAUGGUUGAACAAUAAAUGUUGCAGAAUAUUUUGACGAUUGUUAUUUCUCUUGGAGAGUUACCGAAAAUGGGAUUUUCGGUGGAUAUAAAUAUGUAUUUAUGAGAGAGUAUGUAUAUAAAUGCUAGCUAGCCAUACACUACCAGAAGAAAGACUUUAGCCGACGAAAAUAAAAAAACCAGGCCGACGAAUUUUUUUUUCAUCGGCUAAAGUGGACUUUAGCCGACGAAAUUUUCCUUCGUCGGCUAAUUUUAAAAUUUUCGUCGGCUAUGGUCAACUUUAGCCGACGAAAUUAAUAUUUCGUCGGCUGAAUAAUUUUUUUCGUCGGCUAUAGUUUGUGAACUUUAACCGACGAAAUUUUUAAAAGUUUAGCCGACGAAAUUUUUAACUUUAGCCGACGAAAUUUUUAAAAGUUGAGCCGACGAAAAAUAUAAUUUCGUCGGCUAAAGUGCCUUAUAUUUGCAGAUCUAGACAACAACUCAUCUGGAAAAAAAAAACUAUACGUAGAACCUUCAAACGCAAAAAAGUCGUGAAAUAAGAUAUGACCAUAAUGGUGAAAUACGUCUACGGUUGAAAAAUCACGGUAUUCCAGUAAAGUCUCGGUGCCGAUAGUUGCGGUCAAUGCAAUUUACUCUUAUUAUUCACUAUGCUGCAGAUUUGGCAUUUGGUGUCUGAUUGACUAUUGUGAUACAUUUCCGGAAGCGUAACAGCGCUACAAGAUGUAUAGACCUUUUUGGCCAUCUGAGUCCGUUUAGGGCUUCAAAAUGCAGUUUUCUUAUUUUCGAUUAGAGUUGACCGUUUGGAUCGAGCCUUUAACGUUGUCGAAUCCAGUUGAAUUUUUUACCAUAGACAUCUUUCGUCAUAAUGAUCAUAUCUGACGGUCCAAUUUUGGUUUGUGAAUUUUAGUCAUCGGAAUCACAACGUGUCUACUAUUUACCGUUAUUAUUCCCUAUGGGGGAGCCCUAUCAUCAGAAGGUAAAUGUUUCAAAAUUUUUAUAUGGGCAGUUGCGUCUCAUCUACGUGAGAGUUUUUUGUGUGGAAGGUUUGACCAAACUACGUAAUAUAGAGGGAGAUAUGAGCGUUUUCGUGUGAUAAGUGACGAUGGAUUAUGGUUGACCGUUUCUAUCGAGCCCUUAACGUUGUCGGAUCCAAUUGAAUUUUUUACCAUAGACAUCUUUCGUCAUAAUGAUCAUAUCUGACGGUCCAAUUUUGGUUUGUGAAUUUUAGUCAUCGGAAUCAUAACGUGUCUACUAAUGUUGUAUAACUUGUUUAGUAGGUUAUACAACUUUGUGAACCAACUCUACAGAGGAAGCAAAAUUAUCAAAAAUCUCGUGAACUAAGAUGUGUUCAGAAUGGUGAAAUACAGCUAUGGUUCAAAAAUCACGUAAAUCGGGUAAAGUCUCGGUGCCGAUAGUAGCGGUCAACCCUAUUUACCGUUAUUAUUCCCUAUGGGGAGCCCUAUCAUCGGAAGGUAAAUGUCUCAAAAUUUUUAUAUAGGCGGUUGCGUCUCAUCUACGUGAGAUUUUUUCAUGUGGAAGGUUUGACCAAACUACGUAAUAUAGGGGGAGAUAUGAGCGUUUUCGUGAAUUUAUAGACUUUUGCCGACGAGAUAUUAAAAAAGUCGUCGGCUAAGGUAAAAAAAUUUCAAAAUUUUUUGGGCGGUAAACCAAAGUUGGAGGAAAAUUUUUAAAGGACUUUAGCCGACAAAAAUAUAUGAAAAGUCGUCGGCCAAAGUCGAAAAAUNNNNNNNNNNNNNNNNNNNNNNNNNNNNNNNNNNNNNNNNNNNNNNNNNNNNNNNNNNNNNNNNNNNNNNNNNNNNNNNNNNNNNNNNNNNNNNNNNNNNNNNNNNNNNNNNNNNNNNNNNNNNNNNNNNNNNNNNNNNNNNNNNNNNNNNNNNNNNNNNNNNNNNNNNNNNNNNNNNNNNNNNNNNNNNNNNNNNNNNNNNNNNNNNNNNNNNNNNNNNNNNNNNNNNNNNNNNNNNNNNNNNNNNNNNNNNNNNNNNNNNNNNNNNNNNNNNNNNNNNNNNNNNNNNNNNNNNNNNNNNNNNNNNNNNNNNNNNNNNNNNNNNNNNNNNNNNNNNNNNNNNNNNNNNNNNNNNNNNNNNNNNNNNNNNNNNNNNNNNNNNNNNNNNNNNNNNNNNNNNNNNNNNNNNNNNNNNNNNNNNNNNNNNNNNNNNNNNNNNNNNNNNNNNNNNNNNNNNNNNNNNNNNNNNNNNNNNNNNNNNNNNNNNNNNNNNNNNNNNNNNNNNNNNNNNNNNNNNNNNNNNNNNNNNNNNNNNNNNNNNNNNNNNNNNNNNNNNNNNNNNNNNNNNNNNNNNNNNNNNNNNNNNNNNNNNNNNNNNNNNNNNNNNNNNNNNNNNNNNNNNNNNNNNNNNNNNNNNNNNNNNNNNNNNNNNNNNNNNNNNNNNNNNNNNNNNNNNNNNNNNNNNNNNNNNNNNNNNNNNNNNNNNNNNNNNNNNNNNNNNNNNNNNNNNNNNNNNNNNNNNNNNNNNNNNNNNNNNNNNNNNNNNNNNNNNNNNNNNNNNNNNNNNNNNNNNNNNNNNNNNNNNNNNNNNNNNNNNNNNNNNNNNNNNNNNNNNNNNNNNNNNNNNNNNNNNNNNNNNNNNNNNNNNNNNNNNNNNNNNNNNNNNNNNNNNNNNNNNNNNNNNNNNNNNNNNNNNNNNNNNNNNNNNNNNNNNNNNNNNNNNNNNNNNNNNNNNNNNNNNNNNNNNNNNNNNNNNNNNNNNNNNNNNNNNNNNNNNNNNNNNNNNGCAUUAAGGCGUGACGUGAGCGUUGGACGCGAGCGUAGUAGCCCUAUAUAGACCCAUGAAUUUAUAUAAGGAGUAUGGACGUGUGUAAAUACAUACAUAUAUUAUAGAGUCUGAGAGGCUCGAUAUUUUAUGAGAUAAAAGUUUUAUCGCUUGCGGCAUGCAUUCGAUUUUUCCUUAGAAAUUGAUUUGGGGAAACAUAAAUAUUUUAUUUAUUAAUUUAUUUUUGUCUACUCACUCUAACGUUAUUAAAUGUUUUCCCCCUGGGCCCUUCAUUUUAAAAAAUGCCCAAUCUGCAAAGUUCGGGUUGGAACUAGUAGGAGGCGAGGCAUAGUCACCCGCAUUUCUGCCAGUUUUCAUCAGUAGGUUACAUGUUCAACCUACUCGUGUUUUCUUGCUUCUGCUAGAGUCUAGUAGCUCUGGAUACUUUGGGAUUAUUGUUUAUUAUUUCGGUGGUUUGCUCGGCUUGAUGAUUUGAUGUUUAGAAUUUCUGAAGGAUAAUGUUUGCUUUUAUUAGCUGGAUAUUUAUGUGAAGUUUGGACGUGUUGUAGUAAGAGUGUAAAUUUGAAAUUUUUGAGUUAGGGUUGUCCAUUUUCAAGGGAGGUUUUAACAAUCUUUUCGGUAAAUUUUCUUUGGAGGUGGUCCCCGCACGACUUACUCCGAGUUUCAGGGUGAAAUUUGGGGUGGGUCGUGUCAGUUAAAUAAUGUUAGGAACAUGAAAAAUUAUACUUUAGAGAGGUUAUUAUAUUCUCGAUAAAUGAAAAUGUUCAUUUUUUGAUAGUUUAUUACUUUAUAUAGGGCUUUGUUGUUAGGAGUUUCUUAUUUGUUAAGAGUUUCCUUAAUUUUUCAUAAUACAAGGAAAAAGCAAAAGACUUUAUAUAGAUAUUUUGAGAAAUUACUAAAUUGAGGAAUUAAAAUUGUUAAGAGUUUUCUUAAUUUGUAUUAUUAUGAACAUUAAUUACUUUUUCUUUUAUUUAUUUUAUUAAUUUUUAAUAUUUUUGGAUGAUUUUCUUUUUUGGUUAUUAUGUCGAGACGACCCUAUCCCGUUCUGAUCCGACCAGUCACCAAUCGGGACGGGACGGGACAUGAUCAAUUCUUAAAAACGAUAUUCCUAUAUCGUCCUGUCCUGCCCUUUUAUUUUCAGGACAGGACAAGAUUUACCAAACCCCGUCCCAUGCCUAACCUUAGCCAAAACGGUCCAACUUCUAAUCAACUACAUUACCUAUAACCUCUAACACUUCCCGAGAAACCGCCAUCAUUUUUUUUUCUUAAACAGAUACAGAAUGCUAAGAACAUCUUUAACAACGCUAGCCAUUUUAUAAUCAAAUUUUAGCCAAAAUAGCUAAAAAGUCAUUUUUUUGGCUCGCCACUUUAGAAAUCCCUCUACACCAGUACUCUAUAUUUCAACUAAAGUUUGAUUUAUGUCAUCAUUUAAAAUAUAAUUCAUUUAAAUGUGUUUUAUUAUUACAUAAAGGGUUACAUAAAAUGACUUAAAAAUGAACACUUUGAAUUAACAUAAAUUAUAGAAAGCCUCAUCUUGUUAGCUAAGAGCAUCUUUAGCAGACACUAUAUUGACUCUUUAGCCAUUUUGGAGAGCGAGUUUAGUUUUUUUAUCAGUUUUACUAGCUCUAGCAGACUAGUAAGUGGCUAGCUAUUUUAACUUUUAGUUAUCUCGCUAGUUAAAUAUAAUUUAUGUAACUUAAAGUAUUCAUUUUAAGUCAGUUUAUGUAAUAUCAAAACACUUUUAAAUUUACUUUUCUUUAUUUAAUCAAUAAUAUAAAUCAAGCUUUAGUUAAAAUAGAGAGUACCGCUAUAGAAGAAUUUCUAAAGUGACCAGCCAAAAUAACUUUAAUUACAAAAUGACUAGCAUUGCUAAAGAUGCUCUUACUAGUCUGCUGGAGUUGGUAAAAUCGAUAAAAAACUAUACUCGCUCUCAGAGAGUCUGCUAAAAAUGCUGUAAGCGAACAAUGAAUUAUAGUAAAUUAUAGUGAUGCUAGAAAGGAAAUUAUAGCAAAGUGCUCCCCUUUAUUUGAAUACCCACCUACGGCUUUGAUUGUUAUUACUUCUGCAAAAGCUACAACGUCAUUCCUUGCGGUAGUCAUUUUUUCCCACUUCAGUCAAUGAGCAGUUACUUUAUAUUUUACCCUAUUUUGAUAUGAAGGGAGACAAUCUAAUGACAAUCUUAUAAUGAGAAUCAAGUGAAGACUUUGGCUUAGUUUGGUAUUACUGUGAGAAUACUCAAUUUUUUUAAAAAAACUUAGUUUUAAAAAAGCAAUUCACAAUCUGCUUCUAAAAUCGUGGUUAUUUAAACUAAAACGUUUUAGAUAUACCUUGAUCCUCAUUAUAAAAUGAUGAAUAUAAGUCAUUUUAUUCCCCAAAACUUAAUACAAAACUGGCCCUUUGAAUGAAUUGGUUAGAUGAUAUGCAUCUUGAAAUUUGAAAAAUAUUGAAUGAACUUUAAAACACUCAUCUAAUCGUUAUUUCAGAACAAUCAAAAGUCCUCAUUUGAUCUGCUUUAGAAGCUAUCACUUGAUAUAAAUACUUUUCUUAUGCAUAUUAACAACUCAUGGGGACAUUUGGAAGUAAAACGAAUUUAACUACAUUCUAAGAUGAAUUUUGCUAAAAGGCACAAAUCUUCCGAGAUUUAGAUUGAGAAUGCGCUUGAGAGAAGUUUGAUUUUUACCUCCUUGGCCGGCAACGAGCACUUUCGCCUUUGUCGAACUUGCAUUUGUUGGUUAUGUUUGGGUCUGGAAUGUGUUGGGCUCCUAGCGACAUCUGAUGUGGGCAUGUGGAUCAACGAGAGCUUGGUGGCAAGUUGUGAGAUUAGGAAAAGGGAAAUUGUAGCGACUAGCGGGGUUUAGUGUAUCUCUCGAUGGCUUGGUUUGCUGAUCACCUUGGAGGCGCGAGUUCGGAUGAUGCGGGGUAUUAGGAUUUAUGUGGCAUGGAAGCGUGGUCAUCAGAUCAAACCGGUCCAUUAUGGAUUCUAUUUGGUAUGGGGAUGAGUCUGCUUGACAAGAGCGACAUGUUUCCAUGUAGUGGUAGGGAGAGCCAGAUGAUGACUACAACGAUCUAGCAACUAUUUUGGCGCCGUGCAGAUGGUGGUAUGGUGAUGGUGAUCAUGGUAGAGUUGGGCUUGUGUGGCGGCUUGGGUCUCCCUUGUUUCCUUGGUUGAGAUUUGGGCUUGGGCCAUCAUUUUGAGCCUGGUCUUAGUUGGUUUAUUUACCUUUACUUAUUUUAUUUGGUUAGUCUUUGUCACCUCUUUAGCGUGUGAUAAGUUCCUAUAAUUAUUGUGUGGGGCUAGUUGGGUUGUGUACCUGUGUGUGCACUUAAAGUGUCUUGUAUGCUCUAAGUAAGCAACGAGUUUCUUACUUCGGUAGUUUCCGAACUGCUGCUUAAUCCAUGGGUAAGCAAAAGACAACCUGGAGAACUGAAACAUCUUACUAAUCGCUUACUGGUGGGGUGAAGUUAAGUGUCGUCCGCUCUAUUUUUCGACAACAAGAUAAUUGGAAAGAUGAAUCAUGGGAUAUUAAGAUAUGUAAUCGUAUAUUCGUGUUAGAUAUUUAGUGAUCUUCACCGCUAUAUCAAAACAAAUGAAGUCGUUAGUAAAACAAUUUUCUUUACUAGUUAGUUGGUGCUUGUUACGAGAGCUGUAUUUUGUAGAAAUUUCUGAUAUUGCCUCAGGAUAUACUCUAGAUGCUUAUUGUAAUAAGAGAUUUAGGCUUAACAUCACCCCUUGUAUUCAUCAGUUUUAUUAAUUAAGGCUAGAUGGUACUCUGGUAGCCGCAUCAGCUCUCCCUUUGAAAAAUAUGAAGUUUUCUGGGAGAAACUUUGAGUACUUGACACAAACAGUUGAUCUUUUCAAUGCUCUAUUGUCUAAUUUACUCCCAAUAAUUAUUGGAAGUUGCUACAACAUUGAUCUUGAAUAAGGUUUUGUACUAUUUUGGUGUAGUUGACACAAACAUUGGUCUUUUAAGACAAGAAAAUACAAGGGUUCCUAGCAUAUAUUGUUGUCCACCACUUGAGACCAAAACACUUCAGUAUCCCAACUUGGCUUAAUAGCAAAGUUGUCUGCAUGUGACCCCCAGCCAAAGGUCAUAGCCAGUGUCAUGUGAGUAUUCCUAACAAGACUUUUGGACCAUCUUAGACAGUGACUUGGUACCCAAAAGUCCAACUCUCUAGUCCCGUACCCUCCCUCCUCAUUAGUACUUCAAUACCCAUUUGCUCCAUCAAUACAUAACAAUGGGGCAACCUUGACAGAACAUGAAGAAGAAGUAACAAAUAGAGGUGUUCAGAGAAAUAAAUACAUGAAGAAGAAAAGAAGGGAACAAUAGAGUUCAUUGAUUAAAUCUGAAAGAGAAAAAGAAGAAGAAAAAAAACACAAAAACGAAGAAGACUCGUUGUUUAUGAUUGUUUGUUUGUUGGUGGAAGGUUCAAAUCAUUGCCCAUAUAUAAUGUACUAGCUUCUGUUUUAAUAUUUUGCAUUAUGGUGUGCAAAGUCAUAACAAUGAUUAGGUAGUUUUAUUUGGCAAAACAAUUAUUAGGUAGUUGGAGCAUAUAAUUAACAACCAUAUAACUCAUAUUUACAGCCAUUAAUCCUCACAUUGUUCUUUUAUAUGUAAUUCGUUGUAAUCACUGGGAAGUUUGAGAUUUUGAUGGAACUGGCCCUGAGACAACAGUUCCUAACAAUACAGAAGUAAAAACUAAUGAUUGUUAUAAACUUAUAUUAGUCUCCUACCCUCAUUAUUGAAUAGGCCAAACCCCCAAUGUGAAGAGGCCAAAAAUCAAGGGCAUUUCAAGAACAACUGUUGUUUUUUUGAGUCAUAGGAACAUCUGGACCCAACUAGGAAGAUCUUAUGCGCCAUUAAUUAUGCGCUUGUCUUUGGCUGCUUUCUUCUGGGAACCAAGUCUUUGUUGCCAAUGCAAACAACCUGCAAAAGGGUCCUCCACAACUGCAACAACACAAGUCUCUUCGGUAAGCUGGAAAACCCAAAACAAGAGCUGCUUUUUUCAUAAUUCAAAAGCUCCAUUCUUGCAGGGCAUGGUCAGCAGUCGGCUUUUAUUUUUCUGUUUCUAUCUAGACUUGCAUAUAUAACAAGUUCAGACCUUGUCUAGCUCAGGACCAGUGAUUAGUAGCUGUGUUGAAUCAAUGUCUUAGGAUUUAAGAACUCUGACUUACUAAAUAAGUUAAUUGCAGCUGUAGCUAUCUGUUUUAACUUUUGUGUAUCUUUCUCUGUGGUUGUGCUGGUGUUCUGCUUUUCUUGAGAAAUAAUAAACCCAGAUAUGUUUCAAGAUUUGAAGGUGUUUUCUUUGAGAAUCCUAGAUCUUUUCUGAGCAAGAAAAGUAAAUAUCUUUGAGAAAAAAGUUACCUUUUUUCAAAGUAAAAGGAAAAACUAGUGGUUAAAGUAGAGGACUUGGGAUUCACAAUACGAGUGAUUGAGAAAAGUUACUGUAUCUGGGUUUUGAGACCUCACCAGUUUCAAACUCUUUCUUGUGGAUGUUCUGGCAUUCACUUUUCUGGGAUUCAAGCUCAGCUUUUUGAGAUUCCCAGGGAAUCUCUUGGGAUUUGGAAUUAAUUUGGAAUUGUGGGGAUUUUAGCCGUUAAACAAAGCCAAUGACGGUCAAGUCCAUUUCAACAAUGACAGCCUGUUGUGUCGGUUUUACAGGGUUUUUCCUUCUGUUCUUAUCCCCACUCUCUUUGCCCUUUCUGAAAUCCAAGUCUCAAGAAGAAUCUGAAUUGUCUGAUACAUACUUGAUUUAUAAUUUUUUAUUUUUUUUGGUUCAUAUCUUUUGUAGUUUGAAAUCAUCAAGGGUAUUUGAGAAGUGGGUCUAAUGCCAAAUUGGUUCUGGGUUGCUUCAAUGGGUUGAUGCUUAUUGACAAUGCGCUUGUUCUGGUGGCAACAGUUGCCUCUGCUUAUACUCAUUCAGAUUUUACAACCCAGCAGAACAAGUUACAAAAUAUAUGGUACUCUCUCUCUACUCUCUAGUCUUACUUGUUACAAUGCAAUUCACAAUAAGUAGCAAACUCAUCCUCCAUACUGUUGUUGCUUUGAAUAUGCACAUGGUGAUUGGAAUUGUCUUGUAUUUAGGCUUUGUAGAGCCAAAAAUUUGGAGUUUCCCAGAUUCAAAGGUUCAAAAUAUAUGAGUCUGGUUAGAACACUUGCCAGGUUUUCCUUUUUGAACAUUGUUGGUACAAGAAAAUGUGGGGAUGGAGAUUAAGAGGAUUGUAAGCUGAUCGCUUGUAAAUACGUUCAGCUGUAUAGAAAUUUACUUUUCAAGACCAUAACAGCAGCUCAUAUCAAGCUUAUUUUGUUGCCACAAAUUAUAUGUUUUUGUACAUGUUCAUGAAUGGUAUAGUAAAUGUUCUUACUUAUUAUUCGUUUGGGUUAGUAAAUUUUCUUUCCUUAAUUGUGCUUCUUGUAGCUUGUAGUUUUUUUUUUUUGGAUACAUUAAUAGUGAUUGUAGUUGCUAGAGAAGAAUACUGAUGUUUUAUUCCUUUUACUUUUCCUAUAGCUGAAGCUUUACUGACUUUCAAUAGCAGAGUUGAAAGUCCUGAACUCUCCAGUGGUCAGACUGGAAAAUAUCCAUGUCUAAAACAAUGGACAUUACUGAAAUAUUAUAAACUGCAAGACCCUUGUGUUGUUUCUCUGUAAGAUCUCUCUCUCUCUCUCUCUCUCUCCCUCUCUCUCAUGGUGUUGUAUGUACAUUAAAUAUCAACAUUAUUGGAAUUAAAAACAUAUUACCGACUUCACCUGAUUAGAUGCUAGUGUUAUGAACUGGUUUGAGUUCUUGUGACCUGUAUAUUUUGGUGGUAAUGAUCAAUCAUGUAAUUCUAGGUCUUACUUCAAGAAUCCAUUUUAUGUUUCCUGUUUAACUAGUUACCUCAAACAAGUUUUACGUAGGCUCUAGUGGUCCCAAGUCUGGUGGCUACAUUGUAACAUCGUUUUAGUACAUAUCAAGUUUCUGAUAUCUGCAAAUGAUUACCAAAGAACGAUAUUCAUAUUGGUACAUUUUACUAGGUGUUGAAGUGAAAUACAAGUAGCUUAUAUUCAUAGCAAUGUUUUAAUCAAUUUUGGUUUUAUUUUUUAUUUUGACUUGGUUCAUCUUUUUCAUCACUCAGCAGCAAAUUUCCUGGUAUCUCUUCAAUUCCCCUGCGGCCUAGCAGAGUCAGCUUAGCACCAUUUGCUCCAAGACAUUUCGUGACACAGUCUUCAAUCAAUGUACAAAAAGAGAUCCAUAAACCCAGAAACAGAAGGAUAGCACACAUAGUUGAUGGGGACAGAAGUGUUCCAACACUCACACCUGUACAAGCAGCUGGUGACAAGAAACCAAAAAAGAAAGUUGCAGCCAUCAUUGGUGGAGUUGCUGCUGCUUUGCUUGUGGUUAUUGUAGUGAUACUUGUUUACAUCUAUUUAAUGCGUGUCAAAAGAGUGGUGAGGAGAACAUCUGAUACAUCAUCUUCUACACCAUCCCCCCAUGGUAAGUUAGCUAUGGGGACACUUUUCUUCUGCAUUCGUUUCUAAGUUGUACAUUCCAAACUGUUAAGGCUGUGAUAUGGCUAGCUGUGUAGUUAAGUAAAUAAGUUUCUUCUAUCUUUUCACUUCUUUCAGUUGAAUGGACAAGAGGGGACACAUCCCCCUACGCGGUUGCUCUAUCUCCAUAUGACACACACAACUUGAGGCAACUGACAAUAUUGGAACUGGAGCAAGCUACUAGCAAUUUCAAUGAAAACAAUAUCAUAGGCCAAGGCAGAUUUGGUUUGGUCUACAAGGGAUUACUCCAAGAUGGAACUAUUGUGGCUAUCAAGAGACGCCUACAUGCUCCAACUCAGUAUUUCUUUCAAGAGGUAAACAAGUUAGCAAUCAUUUCUUCUCCACUCAACCUUGACUUUCUUUGUGAGGUAGUGUCUAGACCCUCUUUUGAUGGAACUUCUUAGUAUCUUGAUUUGUCUUGAUCAAAUAUAGGUGAAGCACAUAGCUCGUGUGAACCACGUGCAUAUUCUCAGGCUCAUUGGUUAUUGUCAGGAUUCAAGUCAACAGUUACUUGUCUAUGACUAUCUUCCAAAUGGAAAUGUCGGGAAUCAUCUAUAUGGUACUCUCUCACUCACUAACUUACUCAUUCACUUAGCACAUGAUUCUCUAUCUCUAUCAUUCCAUCUAACCACAUUGUUAUGCAGAUGCUGAAGGUUUACCUAUUGGAAAGUUGAAUUUACGGCAAAGGUUAUCGGUUGCUUUGGGAGCAGCCAAAGGUACAUCAGCUAGUUCAACUUCUAGUGCAAGCCUUAAUUUAUGUUCUUCAUAAAUAUAUUACUUUUAUUUUGGACCAGGACUUGCACAUCUUCAUAGUUUGGUACCUCCCCUCCUGCACAUGAAUUUCAGGACAAGCAAUGUUCUUUUGGAUGAUAACUUUACAGCCAAGGUGUCCGAUUAUGGACUAACCAGACUGCUCAAUAAGGCUCCCUAUACCGGAUCAUCUUCAGCCAUAGACUGCUUUCUUGACCCAGAGUAUGUAAUCUCUCUUCAGUCCACUAAAUUAUUAUGUGAGCUACAAGAUAGAAUGCAGAUAGCAUCUCUUGGUCUCUGUCAGGCUAAAUUAUAUUACCAGAUCACAUAAUGUGUCAGAAUGACAUAUGCAAGGAAAACAAGAGUAAGAGUCCUCCACUAGUUAACUCACCGAAGAUUCUUGCAGGUCAUUUUUGCAUGCCAAGUGAUUUGUUUAGUGAAAUUAGCACCUAAUAUUGAUGUUGAUCACUUUACUGGAAGUCACCUAAUGCAUACCUCUAAUACUGAUACUACAGAAAGUCAUUUCGCGUAGGUUUUACCUUUUUCUUUUUGUAAAUUUAAACAUCUGUAACAGAGCAUAGAUGGAGUUCAACAAUGUAACUUGAUUGCCACUCUGUUGAUCUCAUGCUGUCAGCCCUUGAUUUUAUUUUGCUAUUAUAUAAGGCUAAGUUUCAGUCCAACAUUGAAUAGCUGUGACAUUCUUAGUGCCUUGUAACCAAAGUUGCUUUGAGUUUUGUUGAAUAUCCAUCUGUGAAAAGAAAUCUGCAGGGUUUAAGCAACAGCUUAAUUUGGUACUGAUGUCUAAUCUAAUCCUUUUUCCUAAAGGUUAGAUUCAUUGAACAAAUUUUCAGAAAGAGGUGAUGUGUACAGUUUUGGUGUCUUCUUACUGGAAUUGAUCAGUGGAUGUGAAGCAAAUGGCAGAUACCAGUUGAAUUCGGGGGAUAAUCUCGUAUUGCAGGUACGCAAGUCUUUUCAUAAAAGCCAUUAUUAGUGGCAACUUUAUAUCUCAGACUCUCAGUUUAUGCAUAUACUACUGGUUGCAACCUUUGUUCAGUUGUGAAAUUCGCAUAUGUACUAUUAAUGUGAAAAAGAGUAACUAGGUGAAGUACAUCUAUACUUGUACUUGUUUCAAAGCUUUCGGUUCUUACAAGAUUGUGUAUUAAUUUGAAGGCAAAGGAUUGUGAGGAUUUGGAGAGAUUUGUUGAUAAAACAUUAGGAGAAUAUUCAAUGCAAGCUGCAACAAAACAGAUGAUGGAGUUAGCAUUGAUGUGUAUAGAUGCUAGUGAACAAAGACCACACAUGAAGAUUGUUGUUCAAGAGCUCGAACGGAUUCAAGCAAGAGAAACUAGCCAUUUUCAAAUUGAAGUUGAUGAAGAAAUAGGUGCUGUAACUCUUGGCAGUGAACUUUUCAAAUGAUGCCUUCUGCUGUAACAGUCAUCUUUGCAUUUGCAUUCCAUUACAGAUUUGAUUGGUUUGUGAUUAGUACAGAAGAGAAAUAGAAUAUAUCAAAGCAUUCUUGAAGUAUAUAAAUCUAAUGAAAAUGGUACAGAUUGAUGGGACUAUCUGCCUCUGCUAUUUAACAAAGUCUCUUUCUGGGUUAAUGGUUAAUGUACAUGUUUAGCCCAAUUUCUGAAAGCUGUAAAUAUGCAGAGAAAGAAAGAAAAAACCAAGAAGUUUUUGGUUCUUACAAGCUGUAGUUGUAUAUUUCAAAUUAAAAAGAAAAAAAAAAGAAAAAAAAAAAGCUGUAAUUGUAGUAGUGUGAUACCUCUUAGCACUGUGCCGGGACCAGCUAAUAAUUCCUCUAGUACGAUGAGUUCGAUGAUAAGAUGCGUCAACAAGGCAAAAAACAAAAUACAAAAACUGCAUCAAAAAGAUACAUGCAUGAAAAUUAUUUUAUAGUAAAACUUGUAAUGAAAUAGUGUGAUAAAUGCAAUCUAAUCGUCUAUUCAUGUUGGUUUAAAUGCACUUUGCUGUGAACAUCUCUAGUCGGUCUUCCUCCAAUCUAAAUGCGCCUCCAUCAUUUUCUCUUCCUCUUUCUCGUACUCUUAAUUUCAUCUUUUGUUCUAAUUUCGUGAUCAAAUUUUAGAAAGCACGCCCUCCCACUUACAAAGGAGAGUCUACCUUGUGAUUCUUUUUCUGUGCAUGCAUACAGAAAAAAAAAUAUAUACAUUAAUGAAUAUAUUUUGGUGGAGAUAGUUUUUAUCCUUAACUGGAUUUUCUUCUCAUCAGCCAGUUCAUUAUUAAUGAACCGUGUCGCUUUCAUAUGUUCUGAGUUAGAAAAACAAGGCUGCAUUUUCUGCAUUUGCAAAAUACAUCUCCCACCUCAUUACUCAUUAGUUAUUCAAUAAUAUAGAACAAUGACAUUGUUUAUGAAAACAUAUAUAGUUCAACAUAUAGCUGGUCCAACAGCUACUGCUCAGCAAUUAUUCGUUCUCCCAAAGUUCAAGUUCUUCAACCAUAACAAUAUCAUUCUUCGAGGUAUUCUUCCAAGAUCAAUGACGAAGCAGCUUCGCUCCAAGAGCGGCAAACACUUCCACAGCGAAUGACAUCCUUGACACUUAAGUGAACAAAUAUCUGUGAAAUGAAAUCUUUCUCUAGCUUUACCCAAUUUCGGAACUUGGAGUUGUUAUUCGUCAUCGUAACAAAGGUACUUUUCCCUGCAACCAUCAUAGAUCAAAACCAGGUACUGUAUAAUAGUAUCAGAUUAAAUUAAGCAUUGAAUCGAAAACUCUAGUAAGUGACCAUUUUCUUCCAUAAUAUUAUACAAAUUAAGAGAACAAAUAGCAAAUAGUGAACCUCAUUUUGUUAGAUACUCUAGUAGUGAACUGACUGAACUCGAUCUUAAAACAGAAAAUUGACAAGAUUAGACGAUUUGAGUCAUGUCUAUCACUUCACGCAUGCCUUAGGUGAUAAACAAAUUCCAGACAACUUAACAGAUGUCCACUAUUUGAGUAUGUAGGAUACAGACUCACACACAACAUUUCAGAUGAAUGCUGAAACCUAUGAAUAACCUUCACUACAUGAUAAAUGAUAUAUAUGCAACAAAAUCUCAUGAGCAAUAAGGUAAGUCAAACUACUUGACUGUUUCAUCUAGUACCGCUUAUAAUUUACAUCUGCUAAACCACAAACAAUUUAAAGUCAAGGAGGCAAACUUAACAAGGGAGACUGCAUUUGCAUACACAAAAGGGUGAUCAAAACAAUAAAAGAAGAAGGCAGUAGUGGUUCUUUCUAGGUAAUUAUGUUAACUAUUUUUUCUGAAAGAAGAAACGAAUAAUAUAAAUAGGGUCACAGUAGUACUGAUGUUACAUAGCGCUUCCAAGCGUAAAUCUUUACUUUCAAGAACUCCAAAAUAGAAAACUUUUCUUGCUUCUAAUUUCAAUGACAAAAAGAUAGAUCAUGGUUCCCCUUCAAGCAAAGAGAUCACCGCCUAGUAGGAAACAAGAUUAACAUAAGAAGUGAAGUACAUAAGAAGGUAAUUUGCAGAACAAAACCAUAAAAGUACUCAAUCCAUAAUGGAUACAUUAUUCACUUUUACAGAAACAUAUAAGCUUCGAGAAUAUACUACAUCUGUUCCCUACGCAGUAUUGAUGCAUCAAGUAUAUAAGCUUUUCUGCAUCAAGUAUGAACUCACAAAAGUCCAUAACGGAAAGUUUAUUCAGUUAAACAACAGUGAAGCAUUGAAAGCGAAAUCGAAAUAUUAAUGAUGGUUCAUGAACAUAAUUUAUUAUGAUUUGAGAACAUUCUAAGAAAUUCGACAAAUAACUGGAAUUAAAUAUAUAAAAAAAAGAACAUUUGCGCUGUAUUAAAUGUUAGAAUCUUUUAGAAAAUUCCUGCUAUUUCUUCACAGAAGAAUAUAAUGGUUAUAUUUAAGUUGAUCCUGUCCUGACAUGAUAACAGCAUGUUGUUCUUCAUCACGAGUCAAAUAUAAUCAGAUGAUGGUACGAGAAUUAGAAACCAGAAUAAUCUCACUGAAAUCACUCAUGUCGAAAGCAGUUUAUUGGAAUAUGAGGAUCCUUGAUUAAUUUCCAAUUAAUCCACUUCAUGUUCAAAACAUGAUUGUGGGUAUAUUGGCUAUUCCUAUUCAACACAAGAUUUCCAAAAUACAAUAGGACUAAAGUGACAAGGUGACAUGAUUCGGAUUGAAUGUAAUUGAAGUUUUGCAUGAUCAGAGGUAUCAAACUUGAAAUCAGAAAUGCCUCUACAAGGUAACAGAUUUAAGCAUCUUGUUUAUGGUAAGUUGAUCCUUUCUCUGACCAAAUUAAGUAAGUAUCUUAAUGCUUGAUUUCUAAAUCAGAAUAGAAGAUAUUUUGGUUGAUAGGCAUUAAUUGAUCUCGCAAGAUUACAUGCAAGUCUAUGGUCUCAACAUGCGAGUCUUUAUUACAGUUAAAAUGAUGGAAGAUAACUGUGUGAAUGCUUGAUAAUAGCUGGUUGUAAUUGGAAUGUAAAUGUCAAUUAUCUGAUUGCAGGUUUCAAGCAAGCAUUAAUUUGUGCAAAGAUAUAAAUGUGAAAAUGUCUAAUUGCAGGUUUAAAAGCAAGAAUCAAUUUGAUAUUUUUGGAAAGUGCAAGGUGAUGGUUGGCAGAUUGCAUGAUUUCCAAAAUACAAAUUAAUUCUGUCAUUGAGUGCAUUAGUUGAGGGGGAGAAUUUCAUUCUCCAUAAAUAGCUACCGCUGAAGAUUGAAAGUUUCAAGCUUUUUGAACAUUAGGAAAAGGCCUUCAUAGUAUUGCCUCUGAGUCAAAAUAUUUCAUGAUAAUGUUCAUAGCGUGUUGAGAGAUUGAUAACUGAUUGACUGCUUCUCUUAUUUGCAUUGUCAGAUUGCACUUGAGAUUGGUGAUGCAUUAGUGAUCAAGGGAGAUAGAAGCAAAGAGUCACAACUAGUUAUGUUGAAGAACCAGCUCACAGUCUGAUAGUGAUAUAGUAUCAGCAAGCAUGAUUCAGUCUCUCGUGUGUGGAGAUCAUUUGAAGUGUGUGGAUCUGAAGAGAAGAAUUCUUGGUUGUGUUUAAGAACCAAGUGAUCUGGUUGUGUUGUAGAACCAGAAAAGAAAUCUGAUAGUGUUGAAGUAUCAGUUACUGGAUCUCAGUUUCUCUUGUGUAGAGUUACAUGAAUCUAUUCUCUUGUGUAGAGUGAGUGGUUGUGUUGAAGAACCAAGUAACCUGGUUGUGUUGAAGAACCAAGGAAUACUGAUUGUGUUAAGAAUCAGUAAACAAGAACUAAGAGUGUUUAAGUCUUAGUGUGGAACUAGUUGUGUUUAAGAACUAGUUGAACUGAAAGUGAUGUAGUCUCAAUACUCUAGAUUCAUUUUCUCUUUGUAGAGUUACAUAAAUUAGAGUCAUUUGUGUUGAGAUAGAGAAUUGUAACCAGAAGUGAGACUUGUGGUGUUAUAGUUGUGUGAGAACUAUACCUCUUGUAAACUUUGAUUUGAAGAUUGAAGUAAUAAUCUUGCUUAGUGCUUUUUCCCACAUUGAGGUUUUGCACCAAACCAUUUGAAAUAUAUUGUGUUGAUUAUCUUUGCCUACUUAAUCCAUUUUAGUUUCUACAAUGAUUUUUGAGAAAAUAGUAAGAACUACGGUAAACAUGCAUUUCACAGCAAUAUGUGAAUGAUCAAUGAUGUGAUACUUGUAUGAAGCAUUUUAAAAUACUUUUUAGAGCAUAUGCUUUUUCAAUGUCUAGUCGAAGAGUACCUCAUGCAUUACUGAAUUUAUUAAAUUUGAGUCAAGUUGUUGGAAAAAAAUUGUCAUAUAUCUGUGAGAUUCUAUUAUAAUCCUGAUAAUCUGAUAUGAAACCUUAAAUCUAGAAAAGUUUUUUUUUUUCUCAAAAAGAAUCUCAUGUAUUUGACAAUUAAUAAGAGUUGCGUGUUGAUUGUUUGCUUACCAAAGUUUCAGAACCUAAUAUGUCAGUGAAGCUUUUUAAAGAGAAGAACCACCCAUCAACAACAUCAUUCUUAUUAAAACAUCCAUCCUCUUCAAGAAAUCAAGGCCAAACCAACCCAAAUAAAUUUGUAUGGUAUAAAAAAGAAAUAUAAAACAAAAGAAAGCACACCAUUAACAGUUUACUCAGAUCUCACAUAAGAAACCAGCAAAUCAAGUAUAAUCAACAAAAAUAUAUCUGUAUCAAAUUCCACUUUUUUGAGCUUGAAUCCCAAAGUAAGGUAAAAGAAAGGUUACCUUCUCUUAGAUGUGUUUGGUGCUUUUAGUCUCUUAGGAGGUGUUUGGUAACACGGACAAGAUAGGAUUUCAAAUCCUAUCCUGAUAACACUUGACUAGAUUAGAUUUAAGAUAUCCAUCUCCUUUUCCUUUAUCAUGUUUGUUAAAUAAGAUUGAAAAUUAGAUAAGUAAAGGUUUUUAAAAAAGAAAAAAAUGAAUUGAGCUCGUGGCUCUAUAGAAAAUGUCCACCUCCGAAACGACGCCGUAUUGCCUCCGACGACGACGCCGCCGUUCUCCGCUGUCCGGCCACGCCUGUGCGCUAGAUCGGUCGCGUUUUGAUCGUCUCCUCCAACCCGUCAUGCCUGUGGUGGUAAAUCGGAAUGCAUCAGUGAAAGUAAAGGUUUCUAUUUUCUGGGCAGUUAUGCUCCGGCGAGCUAGGGUUUCCGGCGACGCUUCGGGCUGCUUUAGGACAACUCUUUAGAGGUAUCUGGGUUGAGAACGACUCCAUUGUUCAUCCGAAAUCGACUGGGUAAGCUACUCCUGCGUCGAUCGAUCCGAAGAACUCUAGAAGAAGAAACCCAGAUCCAUCUACAGUUCCUUAGAAAUAGAUCCAAAUCAUCCAAUCUCACCCUGCCCUUUUGUUUUUCUUCUUCGGCAGCAUGUUCUUGAGGAUGAGGGCGGCAGAGGUAGACGAGGGAGCCGCCGACGCGCUGGGCGUAGCGUUCUUGAGGACGCAGACGACUCGGCCGGUCUAAGAGGUUGUGAGUUGUGACGGCUGCGGUGGUGAGGGUGAUGAAAAAAUGGAGAUUUGAUGAGAAGCGUCGUUCGUUUGUUUCCGUCAUAUCCAUAUGGAUAAGAAUAAUAACACCUUCCCAGCAGGAUUUUAAAUCAAGGUUUGACAAGAUUAAAAAUUUCUGCUUACUUAAUAUCUGAAUGUCUAAACACAACUCCUAAUCAGAUUGGCAAGAAUAAAUCUUGUCAGGGGACCAUAUCCUGGUAAACAAACACCCCCUUACAGUUUGAGAUAACUCAGAAAUGAACCAGCUGAUCUGUAUAUAGGGGGCAGUCAGCUAAUGAAUUUACAGGAAGAACCUCAUCCAUCUGUAACAGCACACCAACCAUGCUAUAAAACCUUGAGAAAGAACCAACAGGAAUAUGCCAAUUCAACAUCUAAGGUUGUUUCAGUAACCUCUAACUGGAAAAAUAAAAAAAUUGGUUUCAAAGUGUCAUUCAACCCUGGAUGAUAUUUAACAGGAUUAAAAGAAAAAGGAAACUCCAUAAAUGUAAUCUCACAAACAUGCACGAAAACAAUUUAAAAGAGAGCGCAAUUUAAUCAACAUGCAUGUGUCUAUGAGCAUUGAGUGUACGAAUUCUGCAGUAGAUUUUCAUCGGAUUGGAUAUGUUUUCUUUCCAGUUCAGCAACAAUUGUCAUUUUUGUUAAUCAAAUUCAAAUUCAUUUCCUUUUAAUAUGAGCUAAUAACAGAUACGAUAUUGGGUCAAAUUAGUUAUUUUCCUAAAAUGGAUUCUCAUUCUCAUCUCUUGCUGCUGUAUUGUCUUUAAAAUGUUUUCUCUGUACGUGGAUAUAGCUGUUCUUCGCACUACAUUCCUCUUCUUAAUCAAGCGUGUUAGUGGUUUUUCUACUUAAAUUUUCUACGUCAAGUAAUGAUCAUCUAUGACCUACUUCUAUGGAACUAUGGAAGGUUUAAUUCAUAGAACAUAUCAGUUUUCUGCAAAUCCCAGAUUGUCUAUGAGGUCAAAGAACAAUAACUACGAAGAGAUUGUCGGUCUAGCUAGUCAAGGAAUUAAUUCUUAAUAUCCUAGAAUAAGAAAAGAAGCCUUUACAGAAAAUAUUUAACUUCACUUUAUAAAUCGGAAUCUGCAACAUGAAAGGAAAUUGUCUAUUAAAGAAAAUUUACAUCAUAGCAUGCACAACACCUACAGCUGAGAAAUUAUACUAACAAGGUCAGCAAUAACGACAAUGUGCCCCGUGACAUGUUAUCUCCUUAUCUAACUGGAUCAAUGGGCAAGGGUACUCACCUCAUCCUUAAAAAUGCCUUUAUCAUAUCGAGAACAGAGCCAAAUAUCCAUCUGAAUUAAUCUGAAAGGGCAAACUUGGGAGUAGCCCGUCUGACAAAAUAGAAACUUCUUUAGCCGUGAAGCCUCUUGAAGGAAUCACUCAUCAAGUUGGGAGAGCGCAGACAAAUAUCCGGGGAUCGGAGAUUAGUCCAAUAUGAGGUAGUGACAUGUAACUCUUCUAACUGCCGUGUUUCUCUGAGCAAGUGAUGUAUAACAUCCUUGUGCACCAUGUUGCACUCAAUACUUAAGACCUUCAAACUUGUAGCAUAUGCAAGAAUAUUCUCAACACAAUCCAUACCAAACGGGCACAGCAUAUUCAGCUCGCUGAGGUUCUUGCAGUGCUGACUAAUUGCCUUCAUGAAUUUAAUAGAAAAACUACCUAUAAUUGUCACAUCCCGACCCUUAUAUUUUUACCUUAUUUACUAGCUUAAUUAUAAUAAGAAUUUUACCGUCCCCAUCAUUAAGUUAAUAGUUUAAUUGGUCUCUAGAGGUAUUUUAAGGGACGAUUAAUUUCGGGGAAUUGUUCGUGGGAGAAAAUAUGACGACGGUAAAAAUGGUAAAUUUUUAUUCGGGUAUUAUUUUUCGGGGUGUUUUAUUUCGGAUUUGGGUGGUAUAAGAAGGUUGGACCGGGCCAAAGGGUGGUCAAGCCUAGCCCUCUUUUCUCUCUCUCUCCCUCCCGGUUUUCCCGCACCCGAACUCCCUCCCGCAGCCGAUCUUUCUGUCGCCGGCCAGCCGCCGUCCGGCCACCAACCGCCGCCGCACCGGUCCCGUUCGGUUGGCCAUCAACCCAGCAACCUUCUUGGACCGGUGACAGCUCCCCUAGCGUCGCCGUGAGGAAGAUAUCGGGCCCGAGAGGUCCGACUGUGUUAGGUUUCACGUCGCCGGAACUCCCUCCUCCGGCCACCAAUCCGGGCAAGCUUGGUACGGUUUUGUAGCCCUCCAACCCAGCAGCCUUGCCCUAAAAGGACUCACUCCCUCUUGAGCUAGGUAAGGAGAAAUUUGAGGUGGAAGUUUUAUGGCGUUUUUGAUGUUUUUAGUCGAUUACCCUAGUUAGGCUUGGAAUUAGUGUUUGUGCUAGUUAGGAAAGUUGUAGAGCAUGAUGAGAGGAUUAUUCUGUCAAAAUUUCAUAGGUUUUUGAGGUCGCCGGAAUUGGCCUCCGGCCGCCGCUGCCGGCGGAGCCGCCGCGGUUUGGGAGAUUUUUAGGGUUUUAAAUGUGGAAUAUUAAGGGGAUUAUAUUGAUGUGAUUUAUGGAAUUUUUGGAUGAGAUUUGAAUAGGUUUGUGAAUUUCCGAAGUUUGGUAUUUUUGGCGGUUAAUUAAUGUAGAAUCUGGCCGUAGGAUUUAAGUCGUAUUUUGGGGAGGUUGUAGUUACGACUGUCGAGUAUGAUAUUUUAGUUCGGAUCGUUUCGAUUUAAGAAUAUCGAAGUUAGGUAAUGAUGAGCGUAUUUAUGGCUCUCGGGUAAUUUUGCCUAUUUUGAUUAAAUAUUGGAUUAUUAGUUGGGAAAUUAAUAUUAUAUUUGGAACAGGACGUGAGGAGGCUCGAGCAGACGAGGCCCCAGAUCGACAUCAGGCUUAGGCCUAAUUUGUGAGUGGACUUUUGUUUUAAAUAAAAUGCAUGCUAGAGUUCUUGAUUGAACAAUAUUUGUUGCGGAAUAUUUUGACGUCAUUUUAAUUUGACGAAUUUUAUUUCUCUUGGAGAGUGACCGAAAAUGGGUUUUCGGUGGAUAUAAAUAUGUAUUUAUGAGAGAGUAUGUAUAUAAAAUGUUAGCUAGCCAUAUGUGUCUGUCCACCUUAAUGGCGUAGCAUAUAGCCGCAUUAUGGUGUGACGUGAGCGUUGGACGUGAGCGUAGUAGCCCUAUUUGAGUGUUUAAUUCAUAUAGGGGGUAUGGACACAUAUUUAUACACCCGUCUGUCCACCUUAAUGGCGUAGUGUAGCACCGCAUUAAGGCGUGACGUGAGCGUUGGACGCGAGCGUAGUAGCCCUAUAUAGACCCAUGAAUUUAUAUAGGGAGUAUGGACGAGUGUAAAUACAUACAUAUAUUAUAGAGUCUGAGAGGCUCGAUAUUUUAUGAGAUAAAAGUUUUAUCGCUUGCGGCAUGCAUUCGAUUUUUCCUUAGAAAUUAAUUUGGGGAAACAUAAAUAUUUUAUUUUAUUAUUUUAUUUUUGUCCACUCACUUUAACGUUAUUAAAUGUUUUCCCCUGGGCCCUUCGUUUUAAAUUGCCCAGUCUGCAGAGUUCGGGUUGGAUCUAGUAGGAGGCGUGGCAUAGUCACCCACAUUUCCGCCAGUUUUCAUCAGUAGGUUACAUGUUUAACCUACUCGUGUUUUCUUACUUCCGUUAGUGUCUAGUAGCUCUGAAUACUUUGGGAUUAUUGUAUAUUACGUUUAGAAUUUCUGAAGGAUAAUUAUGUGAUGUUUGGACGUGUUGUAUUAAGAGUGUAAUUUGGAAUUUUCGAGUUAAGGUUGUCCAUUUUCAAGGGAGAUUUUCUCAAUCUUUUCAGUAAAUUUUCCUUGGAGGUGGUCCCCGCACGACUUACUCCGGGUUUCAGGGUGAAAUUCGGGGUGGGUCGUGUCAAUAAUAGUCAAUGACUCAAGCUUUGGCCAUUUCUUUGUAGACUUGUAAAUAGACCGGAUCUUAAUUCGGGGACCCGCUCCGGAUAAAUGGUUUUUAAACGGGUUUGAAUCGAAAAUUUGAUUCGUGGAUCCGUUAACCCGUUUACUGAACGGAUUGAAUACGGAUCGAGGUUGAUCCGAUCCGUUAAGAACCUGGAUCCGUUUUAAAAUAAUUAAAUAAUAUUUUUAUAAAUAUAAUAUUACUGAUAAAUAUUAAAUAAUAUAAUAUUUAUUUAGAUAACCUAAACGUCUAAAUUGCGUCUAAAGUAUGAUUUGAUAAAGUUGAAGAUUACUGAUGCCUAUAUUUUUUUUUAUGCAUUUUGCUAAAAACAUUGGAGGUUUAGUAUUUUGGUUAUAUUAUAGUUUAUUGUUAAGGAGUAUUUUGGCCAUGUAAUUUAACUUUUGAUGUAAACCUUUAUUUUGUUAUAAUAUUUCAUUAGUGUUUUAUGAAAACUUAUGAUAAAAUUAAGAUUAUAAAUGGAUCGGAUUAACGGGUCGGAUAUCCGUUAACCCGCCGGAUCCAGAUUUGGAUCGAGCUAUCAAUAUUCUGACGGGUAACGGGUCGGAUCCAGAUCUAGGUCGAUCCGCUCCAGAUCCGGCCCAUUUACAGAUCUAGUUCUUUGCAGCUUCUUCAGAAUCAUUAACUAGUAUAAAUUUGUCCUGCACUGAUAGAACAAGGAUCUUUUGAGAUUUGGGGUUCUGUAAAAGAGAGAACUAGUCAAUUUACGUUUCAUCAAAUAACCUCUAUAGAACAUUUUGGGAAGUAUGAACAUUGACCUUUUAGAAAUAAGAAACAAGUGCGGACUUGUUAUCCGAGAGUAGGCGUGGAAGAUCAAGCAAGAUAUAGAUCCACCACAUAAUCUGGAACCGCUAUUGACAAUAUUCAUAAUCAUCUGGCUAGACUGCUCGCAUUGUCGAUUGAAUCGAAGAUCUUGAUUUCCAGCUUACUCAAGUCAACUACCUCCCAGAGGCAGGGUUCGGAAGCUGCUUCCCGCCAAGAUUUGCAAACAAAUGCCCCACGUAUUAAUUCCACAACAUUAAAUGUCAUGAAUAUACGUAUGAGUAUAUCCUUAUCCAUGUCUGCCCAUCUUUCAAAUCCUGAGUUUUUGUUUGUCGUCAUACUAGAAAAGAAGUGGCUGAAACCAUCAAUCAGAAGAAGAUACUGUGUAUAAGUGUAAAGAAUCAAUGAUUAAACUCAACCAUUGUUAAAGGAAGAAAAUAUGUUGCUGAUAUAUUGCUGAUUCGUUGCUGACGUGAUUGAUAGAUAGAUAGUCACUAUUGUGAUUAUAGGAGUGAAUGUAGGAUCUGGUUUAUUUGUAUUUAUUCCUUACCUAGAAUAACUUCUGGAACUUGUAUAUUAUAGCAUAGCUUUGUACGAUUGAGACUAUCUAAUAUACACUCAUUCACAUAUCAAUUUGUUUAUGGUAUCAGAGCACCGAUUCUGGUGUCUCUAACCCACUACUUCCGCUACAAACAACCCACUACUUUUGCCACAAACAAACACAAACAUCAUGGCUGAGGUCAUUGAAACCCCAGAACCACAAAACACCGAACUCAUUCCUUCAUCUAAAGACAAAGAUGUGAAUGAUUUUGACACACCCAACCCUUUGACCUUACACCCAUCUGAUACCACUACCAGGACAAGUACUUUAGCCGACGAAAUAUUUUCGUCGGCCUGUUAUCCUAAUUCGUCGGCUAAGACCUUAGCCGACGAAGGCUCGUCGGCUAUAGUGUCGUCGGGAAAGGGUCGUCGGUGAUGGCUUUAGCCGACGAAUCUAAAGACCAUCGUCGGCUAUUGUUCCAGACUUUAGCCGACGAACUAUUUUUCGUCGGCUAUUGUUCCAGCCUUUAGCCGACGAACAGUAUAUUCGUCGGCUUUACUGACAAACUUUAGCCGACGAAUAUCUCUGUUUCGUCGGUUAAAGUAUAUAAUUAAAAUAUUUAAAAAUAACUAUAGCCGACGACAUAGAGUCUGUUUCGUCGGCUUUAGUGGUGUUUAGCCGACGAAACAUACCAUAAUUCCGUCGGCUAAACCCUUUGGAAAAAAAAAAUUACUAUAGCCGACGAAUUGUGGCAUGUUUCGUUCGGCUAUNNNNNNNNNNNNNNNNNNNNNNNNNNNNNNNNNNNNNNNNNNNNNNNNNNNNNNNNNNNNNNNNNNNNNNNNNNNNNNNNNNNNNNNNNNNNNNNNNNNNAGGUUUUUGACGAGGCAACAGAUCAGCACCAUCGGCAUAUCAGCGCGCGGCACAAGGGGGAGUGUUCUAGGAUAUCUCUACUGUGUGCCUUGGCCUUAUGCCAAUAGGAUAUGUAGUUAGACUAGAUCUAUGUAUUCAUAUCCUUACCAUAUUGGUAUUGUGUAAUUCCCUAUAUAAAGGGCUCCUAUCAAUGAAUAAGAUGACUCUCUUGCUAUCUCUUUGUCUCUACACUUUAUUCUUCAUCACGAUCGUUAUUAUUCUUAUAUAUGUAAGUGAGAAUUGAACAUAUGAACUCAAAUUUGUCAAUUAAACUACCUAACUAAACAGCACACGGCUCACUGACCGUAGACAACAACUCGGUGUGACAUUUAUAAUUCAACAAGAAAUUUUGACUAUUUAUCUAUGUAUGUUAGAUCAAAUAUAGGGAAUGAGGUACAUUUUUUCAUGUCACUGUGAUGCAUUCUUUUUAGCUUCUACAUGAUGUUACCUUUCUUCCAUGUAAAUUUAUCUUUCUCAGAUGUAAGUCAUAAAUAUCUCAUUUUGUGACGACUUUGUUGAACGCCUUUAUCUUUGAGUCAGUUUUUUCAACCCGUCACAAAUUAAAGUCUGAUAAAAUUAUAAAUCACCACUGACUACCUAUCCACAAUGGAGCUUGAAUUCCAUGAAUUGGUGGGGGAAGAAUAGUUACCUUAUGGGUUAUGCACAAACAACUCCACAGGAAUCGAUGUGAAAUGAAGGAAAAAUUUCAAUUGUACCAAGGAUUCAUGUCAUUCAUCUUUAGCUAGCUAGUCGCAUUUAGAUUUAGAGUAACCAAAACUGAGCAUGAUCCUCAGUUUGAGUUUUCCAAGCAGUGGUAAGGAUUCCUUUUUUAUGUAGCAUGUCUAGAGAAGCACUCUAGAAUUUGGAAGUAACAAACUAUCAACAGAUUGGUAUUAAACCAAUAGUUUGUUUCAAACUAUUAUACAAGUGAAGACUAGAGAUGAACAAAAAUGCAAGAUUGCAAGUAAAUUCUCUCACACUUGGUUAAGUAUUACAUUUUACAUGGUUUCUAGUGCUAGAUUACUGAUCAUUUUAACAAAGGGCACAGGACACUUGGAAACAAUAUCGAACCUAGACGGAAAUGAGGCAUGGCCAAACAGAGAUAAACUCAACAAGGCAAGCUCUCUAAGAGACAACCUUGAGGAGAGGAAUCCUUGCCAGUAAUAAGGAUCCAAGUCAAAGAAAGCAUCAAAAAACCUUCUACUUCCAUUAAGAUCAAGCUUCAACAAAGUUUCCAUCCCAAAAGAGUAAUAUUGCCUUACACAUCUCCUCUCAGUUGUCCACAAACCAUUCCACGCUCGUUCAUGAAGCGAUUUCCCUCGGAUCAUUCGAGUUGAACCAAGGCACUCUGCAAUGGCCUCAGCUAGUACCGGUGCUAGAGCCAUUGUCCGAGCCACCAUGUAACCAGUUGAAGGGUGGACAAUCCCAGAAGUCCCUCCAAUUGCCAUAACGCUUUGAGGUAUCCGAGGGAGCGGGCCUCCCAUUGGAACCACACACUUCUCAACCUCCAAUAUCCUCUUCACUCGAAUCCCCAAAUGCCUUAGCCUUGCCACCAUUCUUUUCUUGAUCUCCAUGUAAGAUAAAACCGGCCUACUAACCAGUGAAGUCUCUUCCAAAAAUACCAAGUUGGAAUCAAAUGGCAUUGCAUACAGAAAAGCAGGGAACCUAGAAUUACCAGUACGCAAGUAAGGUUCAUUCCCUAGAUGAGAAUCCCUCCAAUCCAUAAGAACCAUCUUAUCCAAGUCAAAGGGGUGACCUUCCACUUCAGCCAAAAUACCAUGAGCAAUCUGAUACCCAUGAUUCCUUGGCUUAUCAUACUCUAUGAAACUACUUGCAAAACCACUAGCAUCAACAACUAAGCUUGCCUUCAACUCAUUCCCAUCAUCACACACAAUCAAAGACUCAAACUCUUUGUGCUCAAUUUUCCAAACCUUGGCCUUGUGAAAUUUGACUCCAUUGGAGAGACACCUCUCCAUCAACAAUUUCUUGAGCUUCUUUCUACUGACCCGACCAUAAGGACGGUCUAAAUACUUGGUCUUAUUAUCAUCAAUAUGAACACAAGCCAUAGGCCAUGUUUUGUCUAAACAACUUUCAAGCUCCAAGCUCUCAAACUCAUCAACCCAUACACCAUAGUUAUUUGGCCACAUAGAAAGAGGUGAAGGAUCAACACAACAUACCUUGAUGCCAUACUGUGACACUUGCUCAGCUAAACGAAGACCAGCAGGCCCUGUGCCGAUGAUGAUCACAUCCACUCGAGACCGGCUACUCGGGUCCAACCGGGGCAGAUCAAAAUCCAACACUUCAGGUGUUGACUCUGGUUUCAAGUCCAGGAAAUUCCCAUACUUGCUGCUUUGGACUCUGGAAAAUCUCUUUCCUGUGUAAUGGGGUUUGGGGAAAGAGCAUGGAGGGCUGGAUGCAUGGAAGAGUUGACUGAUCUUGGUUGGUAGUAGCAGUGGUGGUGGUGGUGGAAACAAUCUGACGAGGGUGUCCAUCAUAGAGUGGGAUGAAGAUGACAGAGAAGAGGGACAGAGGUUAUAUAAUAGAAGAAGAAUGGGAGAUAGAGACAGAAUGGGAAUCUAAAGCAGUAGUAUGAAAGUGAUGCUUUUCUAAAACUUGGGUAGAGCAGCAUUUGUGUGGGGUAAACGUGCUGCAGGCCAUUUGUCGGGCAUUUAGACAUGCAUGAAACUCCACCCACAUGCGUUACUGAAACAAUUGAAGCCGCCUUGAUUUGGUAAUUGCCUAAUUGAAGCCGCCUCAUUUUCAGGUCUAGUUUGAUGUAUCCGGCGGGGGUAUUUGUUUGACUGGAAUCUAAACUACAAGAACAGAGAGCAUUUAUAUUGUCAAAAAAUAAAGAUGUGAUCAUCCUAUGAUCUUGAAGCAAAUAUUGUCCAAAUUCCUGAGACUCGAGCUGAUUAAGCGAGGGGAGAAUGUCAAUUUCACAUCAACUGAGUUCAUUCAAAUCAGGUGCUGCAUGAAUUGGGUUCCUCAUAAAGAUGAUGUGCAAUGUGUGAAAAGGAAGGUUUCCAAAACGGGUAAAAUAGAAGAGAAUAUGGGAUUGAUGAACUUGAAAACUUGAAUCAUCAAAUACAACUAGCGGUGUUUUAUGAUUUUCCAUUCGUAACAAGUGAAGUCAUUCAUCCAUGUCCCGGUGUUCAUAAAAUACCGAGAUGAUAUUAUAAUGCGACACUGGAAAAACAACGUCACAGACUUUUUGAGGAACCCGACAUUCCAAGUUAAGUUGCAAAGAAAAUAUUACAAGCUACAAAUAAAUUACUUUCAUAUACAACUAAAACAAAAAACAAAAAAAAGUGAACCCGUUAAGCACUGAUUUCCUUUUGAAUAUAGAAUGAUGGAGAUUGUCUUAACAGUUUUUGUUACAUACACAAAUACGGGAAUUAAUCAAGAUCUGCAGGACGGUAACGUGAUUCCUCCACAACAAGCAGCAAUGAUAAUGUACAGGAACACAACAAUCAAACAUGUCAACAGGGCCCUGUGCAAAUUAAACAAUUUUCAAUGUCCUGAAACAAUCAUAGAAUUACUUUCCAUCUAGAAACUUUUGUUUGACAAGCAGGAGAAUUCAGCAAGAAAAAACGCAUGGGUUAUAUUUAUUUCAUUUUCUAAUAAACAUAAUAUCAUCAGUAACAUAAAACAUGAUGACCACUACAAGAAAAGAAGGGCACCAUGAAACAGAAUAGAGAUCUGCAUUCGAAAAUAACAAUAGUCCACAGAUUUAUUCUCUUCAGAGGUUGAUAUCUUAGAUGAGUUCUUAGCACUAUUAGAAAAGCAUGAUCAAGUAUUCUUUCACAAAAGAUCUGAGAACGAACUGAUAUAUUCAAAACAAUGGCAACAAAUCAGUGAAUCUACUAGGUAAAUUUGAAAGAAGAAAAAGAAUGGGAAGCUUGCAAAUGACAAACAAGAAGAUUUACAGGUAUGAUUUGACUUCUCAAACUGCAACCCAUGUCAGGGAUGCUGGAAUUAGAGAGUGACUACAAUAGAGAUUGGCUGUUCUAGUGAGAGUUUUACUUUAGACUAAAAUACAAGAAAUGACAUUUCCUUCCAACUCUCCUUAAGUUGAAAAAGCCGCCAAUCUUUCCUACAGGUGUGAUAUAUUCAUUCCAUUUCUUUUGAAAUUAUUAAAAGCAAAGUAGAACAAUGAAAACAAAACAGAAGGUUUACUAAACUAGUAAACUCCAACUUCAAACAACCCUCUUCUCUCACCCCAUCUCUCGCAUCUCUUUCUGUGAAUCACUCAACCAUUUUGCUGUUGCUACUGCAAUGCUUCCCAUUCAAAUUCAUUUGGUUCCACUCAUCCUAUCUCUAGAGCAAGUCCUAACCUCAUUCAAAUUCCUAACACUCACUUGAUUAAAAAAGCAGGAUUCCGAUUUUGCUGGCUAUUCAUGAUUACACUAGUCACUUCCCAGCAUGCAUAUCUUAAGGAUAAUUACUUCUUUCUUCCCCACUAAAAAUUUCAGUCUUUUGGCAUCCGCAAUUUUUUAUUUUAACAAUGGAACAGUUUUAGCUUUUCUUUGUUCUUGUAGCCCAAGUUGGUUAGAAGAGAAGCACCCUCUAUGGAAGCUAGAGAUCAAAGCUAUUGGUACAAAAGAAUGCCCUUUUAGUUAUUGCAAGCUUGAACUAAGGCCCCUAGAAAGGGUCACUCGUUAGUUUCACUCUUUUGGUUUUUCUACAAGCGCAAAGGAGCUGUAAUUGAAACCUAUACAGGAGGCUAUGGGCAGCCAACCAAGGCAAAAAUUGGUAAUCAAGUAAAAGAGCUAUUGGAGGAAUGGUGCCUCAGUAUCUUCCUGUCUACCUUGUUCUCUUUUUCCUCCCACCAUUGUCUAUAUUCUCUAGCUUUGCUGAGACUACAGCAGCUAUAAUAAUACGUAUCCGUUUAGAUAGGAAUUUUAGCUUUUUCUAUACCACACAACCCCCCCCUCUAAAUCUGAAUCUGAAGAUGCACCCGCCAAGCUUCAGUUCACUACUGGCACUAGCUCCUCAUUGAGUGGCAUUGAUAAAAUACAAAUUUCAAAAUGCGAUAUACACCCAUUGAUGUGUGCCAUAUUCUUCUGAGACCUCGGUUAUUUGAUAAUAAAACUUAAGAAUUUUGGCUUCUGCCUAUAAAUUUUUGCCCCCACCUCCCAAAAAGCUCCAGAAGGGAACAGGUACAUUUCUCCUAAAACAGAUGGAGGCUGAUUAUGAUUCUAUCCUUGGCGCAGCUCUAUAAUUCACCUGGUCGAGUUCCGGUUGUAGGCCUAAAAGAAAGAAGACUAGAGAAAAUUUGGACUCACUUCAGUAAAGUUUUUUAAAAUUACACCAAACAAUUCCCAUGAAUCAGUUGACACACAUUGUUUUGAUAUAAACCACCUGCGAUCUCAUUACCGGGAUUAACAGCAGACAAUGAGAUUUGUGCAGAGCUACAGAUGCCAAAAAUAGUGCAAACAUUAUACAAUAUUGAUUAAUGACUUCUACGAAUGCCAAAAAUCUUGUUAUUUAUGACUGACAGAAGAUCCCUUGGAAAAAGUACAAGCUUGAUCCAACAAAAACAACAUGUGUCUUGAAAACUGUACAGAAAAUUCCAUACCAACUGAUUAACUGGUCUCUUUGGUUAUUUCUCUUCUAACACUUUUCACUUUUUUAAAGACUUGUCUUUCCAGGUCUCUAAAGCACAUAAUUUCAUAUUUAGUGUAUGACUUAAUCCUCCUAAGAUUAGAUUAGAUCUAUGGUAUAUUAGCAAAUAAAAAGUACUUACAAGAGUUUGGCAUUUUUCAUCCACAGAGCUUGACGAAGGCGCUUUGACUGUUUCUUGAAGUGAAAUGCACUGUCUUGCAUAGUUGCAGUUUUGUCAACAAGGAGUUCAAUUCGGUCGCCUCUCUCCAAAAUCUUUUCUAUGUUGUCGACCAUUAUAGUUCGUAUCUGGAUAUCAGAUAACUCAUUGUGAGAACAAACAGAGAUUUUCAAGAGCAAUCAACAACCAAACAUAAGGAAAUAAUAGAAAAACGCAGGCCAUAGCAGACCCAAAAAGUUAAUGAAAACAGUUUUGAAGUCCCUGUAUCAUGCAAAAAUCGUGUCCAACGAAACUAGCUCCUGAACUUAAAAACAAUAGCUACAUGAACUUUUCAAAUAUAAUUUCCAUCAUUUUCAUUAUUUGCAGCUUGCAGUGUAACUUUUUGCUUGUCAUUUCAAGUCUUUCAAUAAAACCUCAACAUGUCAUAUCAUCAAUUUCAUCUCUAGCUUACACUAUUAGUUAAGGAAACCAAUUAUUAGAGUGGGGGAACAAAUCUCCACAGUCAUAUAUCAACUUCGCCACUAGCUCAAACUAACACUUCCAAAAAACACAAAAUCUUUGGCCAAAUUUUUUACAAUAUUUCCAUCAUUUGUUCAUUGUCAACACAAACAUUUCCAAGACUCGUAACGGAAAAUCAAAGACGAGCACAAUAAUACUUGCCUCACCAACUUCGCCUCUCACACGGUUGAGAGUAUCAGCACUGGGAUUGCUGGAGAAAAACUCCAUUUGCUGGUGCAGCACUCUCGAAAACUCGUCGUUCAUCGCAUAAGCAGGAGCAUAAGGCGCAACUCUGCCGUAAUUCUUCAUGAAUCUCAUGUGCACAUCCUCCAAAUACGCAAACGGUAUCCUCCCUGCAUCAAAACAACCACAACUAAACCAAUCAAACACCAAAACACAGCGAAAUUCGAAAAACGACAUGAAUCGAAGCUAGAACUCACUGCCGAAAGUGUCGUUGGCCAUGCAGAGAAAGAUGAGGCCAUCCAAGGUGAGUAUGUGGAAGAUGUACCGAUCCUGGGAGAAGCAAACCCUGGAAUCGGCGUCCGGCGGGAGCUUCUCUAAGAUCCGGCGAGCCACGGCGCCUGUGUUUCCGGUGACGGCGCUAAACUCGGCCAGCACGACGGUGCCACGAGCGACGACGGCGUAGAGUAUCGCCAUGUCCGUCCCCGAUUAGGGCCCUGCGCGCUCUCUACUCCGAUCUCGAUCGAAUCCAAGUCUCACGGGCCAGUUUUGAACCUGAUUGACUCAGUCUAUUUAUAUAUUUUUUUAAAUUUUUUUUCCUUCAAAAUUGUAAUAUUACAACAAAGAAGUGAUAAUUCGAAUUUAAAGUUUGAAGUUUGAAAGUAAGCGCAACGUGAGCAAGUUUGUUGUUACCGGUGAGUCCACGACUUGUUUCGUUCGGGUGUAUGAUAAUUAAAGAUUAAAAUAUCUGUAAUAUAUCCGAUAUUUUUUUUUUUUAAGGUACCGAUAUAUCUAUAAGGGAUCAAUAUCUUAUCUUUCAUCGUAUCUAUGAUAUUUUCCCGAUAUUUCUCUGAUAUCGUCUCUGAUAUUUAGGAAAUAUCUCUGAUAUUUAUGAUAUUUCUGAUAUAUUAAAAAAUAUUUGUAAAAAAAAACUGAAAUGAUAUUCGGAAGAGAAGUAAUUCUCUCAAGGUAUAUCUCAAUGAAGAGUGUGGGUCUCGAGUGAUAUUUAGGAUAGAAGUAAUUUCCUCGAGGUAUAUCUCAAUGAAGAGUGUGGGUCUCGAGUAAUUCCCUCAAGGUAUAUCCCAAUGAAGAGUGAGGGUCUUGACUCUUGAGUGAUUUCCGGAAGAGAAAUUCCCUCGAGGUAUAUCUAGAAUAAAAGUAAUUCCUUCAAGGUAUAUCUCAAUAAAGAGUGUGGGUCUGGAGUGAUAUCUAGGAUAGAAGUAAUUUCCUCGAGGUAUAUCCCAAUGAAGCGUGAGGGUCUUGAGUGAUUUCCAGAAGAGAAGUAAUUCUCUCGAGGUGUAUCCUAAUGAAGAGUGGUGGUCUCGAGAAGAUGAUGAUGAAGACGGUGGAAGCGGAAAAAGUGGUGGAAAUACCGGGUUUGUAUAUGGACAAUCUUCUACAGUUAGUGGAUUGAACAAUUUUUCAUCUGAAGAAAAUUAUAAUCAUGCCUCCCAUGAUCAUGGCUAUUGAAGUACUAGGUAUGGCCGUAUGGAGCGCAAGAGGAUACUAUGUAUGGGAGGAGGACUAAAGGUUCGAAUGAUGAUCAAGAUGUUGCUUCAGUUGUGCUAAGUUUUGAGUCUAUCAGUUUAGGUAGUGGGAUUGGAACCUCAAAUGAAUCCCAAGAAGGCAAUAAUCAAUAUGGCUAUAAUGUUUACGGCUAUAAUCAAUGUACGGAAGUCAGUGAUCAGUCAUCUAGUUGGAUUCAUCCUUACUAUCUAUUUAUAGGGGAAACAGUCGGUUGCUCCAAAGACAUAUAUGAUUAUCAUAUUCAACACUACAAUUCGUACUAUUUGAGUCAUAUGUCUUUGUCUGAUUAUUAUACUUUUAUGGAUCAGCGUGCGUUUUAUCAACAACCUAGAUUCUCAUUUUGGAUGUAGAUGAAGUUGACGUUUGUAAUAUUUAUAUGUAAAUCCAAUAAAUUAAAUAUUUCAGAAAAAAAAAAUUCUUCCCAAAAUCCUGAUAUUUUUUCCUGGAUUUCCCCGAUAUAUCCAAUAUCUGUUUUUUUUUCUUCAAAUGACCAAUAGAUACACCGAUACCGAUAUUUUAAUCCUUGAUGAUAACAAAGUUACGAUGUUCACAAUUAGGAGCUUAUGGUUUACGAUUCCGGUGAGUCCAAGACUUUCAGAAUUUUGUGUAGUGUGUUUCGGGCAACAAUCUUCAUUUAUAUGGCUUGUAGAUAUAAGAUAUUAUGUGGAUGGUCUAAGAUCAGAUGACGUUAAGACAUAUGUAUGGUGAUCUUCACAUAUAAGAUAAGAUUACACUAUAUGUGCACAUUAUGUAUUAAUAAUUAUAAAAUAGAGCUGAAAUUUGCACUCUUUAAUUUACAAACCACACUCCCUGUAAGUUAUUUUUACCAAAUGACCCCUAAAAUUUUGCAAAAUCACAUCUCUACUAAUCCCCACCUUUUCUCUUUAACUGAAAAUGAACCUCUAUCUGGGUUGAAAUACUAUCAUCACCAACAGUUUUCUUAACUCAUCAUAUAUAUAUAUGAUGUUGGUUUGCAUUUCUCUUCUUGAGUAUAGUGUCUUAUCGAUUAAGAAAGAAUUCAUAACAAGAUUGUGUUCCUUUGAUUGAUUCUCUAUGAUGAUGAAGUUAAUUAAGAAAUAUAAAAGAUUGCAACGCAAACCCUUUGCCCAGUUUGCAUUGUUAUGGACUAGGUACUUCUUUCAACAAGAAAUCAAAAGCUUACGUUUUUAGAUAAGAGUACACAUUCAUGUAAUCUCAAUUAAACCAAUCCCUUCAUCAUUGCUAAAGCCAUUCUGAUUUAAAUGCAAAUAGGAGGACAAAAAACCAAUUACAGAGUGCAUCAACCUUUACCAUGAGCUCCCUCGCCAUGAACCCUAUUAAAUUGAGUCUUAACAAUUAAAUCAAAAGAUCCUUAGAUAUUAAAACAACUCUCAAGCAAAGUAAGAACCAUAAAGAAAUAAGCAACAAGAGUUUGAGGAGAGAGAAGACGACGAGGUAUGCACUGUGUAAGUGAUUGAGGGUAUUUUUGGCAAAUGGAAAGACAACUUAAAGAAAAUAUAAUAAAAUAAGAGUUGUGAAAUCCACACACCCUAAAUUGAAAUCCACACACCCUUUUUCUUUUUUUGGUAAUUUAAAUUUUAUCUUUUAGUGACUUAAACUUUGUCUUUUUGUGAAUGUGUUAACCAAAAAAGGAAAAAGGGUGUGUGGAUUUCAAUUUGGGGUGUGUGGAUUUCACAUCCCUAAAAUAAUCAAAAUGAGUGUGGUCUGUAUUUAGGGAAUGUAAAUUUCAGCUCCCUUAGAAAAUCACUUCAACCCCUCUUGUUUUGGAAAUAGAUGCAUUGAUAGUUGUUCAAGAGAUAAAUAACUUAGGACCAAACUGGUCUAUUGAAUAUGCAUUAGGGUGAGUUUGUUUCCGCUUUUAGGCUGCUUUACUUUGUAGUAAAGUUGCAUAAAGUGUUUGGUAACUUUGAAAAUGUCCUGCUUUGCUUUGAAGCAUUGGCCUUUUCAAGCCAAAAGCCAAAGCAACUCCUACCUUGAGUUUGGAAGCAGAAGCAGCGCGCUACUGUAGCGAUGAAUUAAUGAAUCUUUUAAAAUACCAAUGGGUACCCCUCAUGGCUCACAUGAAUUACGACCCAAUAUCAUUUGUGAAAACGCUGCUGCUACUUCAUUUGCGUCUUCUCUUUCAGUUCUUCAACUCUGCCACUCUCCUUCACAAUUCACAAACGUCAAUCACAACCUUGGGAUAAAAGAGAAGAAGGAGAUCGUUUGAUUUUCUGGUGAUUUCUCUUCUUCCCCUUUUCGCACCUGAUAUAUGAAGUCAGGAAAUUGUUUACUUGAUUUCCAUGGUAGUUCCACACUUCCACCGCUGAAUGGUUGUACUUGGAUAGAAGGUAGAACUCAUUCUUGUUUAUUGUUUAUUUGUAUUACAAAUUCAGUUGAUGAGUAAUUGGUAGGUUUAAAGAGAUUUUGAGUAAUUUUUAUUUAAGGUAAAUUCUUAUAUUGAUUGUAGUUGAAUAUUUGUUUGAUUGUUGUGGUUUGAAGAAAUUGAUAGGUAUGUAGUUUUGGGUUUUUUGAUCAUUGUACCUUUGCUCUGAUCAAUGUGAAAAAUGUGAUCGUUACAACAAUCACAUAAAAAAAGUUUACACUUUCUUUAUUGAGCCUAACCUUCAUAAUUAGGAAUUGUAGAUUUAUGUAAAAGCUAGGUAAGAUUACAACCAAGUCUUGAUAAAGUCCACAACACAGUGAUGGAAACCAUCUUUGUUGCAGUUUUUAUGUGGUUUUGUAAUUCAUCUUUGUUGUUCCUAUUGUUAAAUUUUGAUUGUUUUGCAAUUGAUCUUUGUUGGAUGUACUGAUUAGGCAUCUCAAUUUCUUUGAUAUCAAGAGGAGUUAGAAACAAUUGGAUCAUACCUUUUGGACUGGGCAUCCUGAGAUUAUUUGUAAUUGACAAAAAAUUUUAUGCAGGGUCACAAUUUUACAGUUGAAGCUGAUGGGUACUAUGUGGAGCCAUUUGUGAUCAAAAACAUAUUCUUUUACUCUGGUGAGACAUACUCAGCUUGAAACAUGAAGUAGUAAUUGUUAGUGGUAAAAUCAAAGGACAUGCUAAAUGUGCUAGUGCUUUAUAUAAUUGGAGCAUUCAUUCCAGCAACACAGAGAUCACAGUGUAACUUCUCAACUGGCUCAACAAAAAGAAUUUAAUUUGAGAAAACCACCUUCUUUUCCAUUGUAAUCUACUUCCUUUAGAGUGCAUGGUACGCAAAUGUCUUUCUUAAUAUUCGUGUUUGCUAGAACUUAUGUGGAUGCAAAACAAAUUGCACUUCUUAUCCAUUUGGUCUGAGAUAUUUUUGCUACAUGACAGGUCAUGAUAUGUGGUCUGAUAGGAAUACAGAGAUUAUAACUUAACUGGUCUUGUGUUGUAAUCAAAGAUAAUAAGUUCAAUACCAUCUCAAUUUCUUUUCAACCACGACACUCUAAAAUAAUUUUCUAAGUGUUCAGAAUACGGAGAUGCACGUAUCGAUACAUUUCAACUCAGUUGGAACAUGUCAGAUGGUCAAGGAACUAGAGAGGUUAAGAAAGAGGCUCAAGGUGAAGUGAAGUUAAGUUAUUGUUUUUUGUUGUUGAUGUAACUUAUAGCCAAUGUAUGGCUAGUUGUACAAGUUUGGAGGCUUUGUAAUCAGAUGAUGUCUUGUGUAAUCUAUAUAUGUUGCCUAUUAAUUUGAUCCCAUAGUUAUGAACUUGUGAUUAUUCUAUUUGGUUCCUAGUUAUCACUUAAUCAAUUCUCUUAACCUUUCAUCUUAUCGUUGUGAACCUGGGAAAAGUGUGAGGUCACAUACAUAUUAGAAAAUUACGGUAUACACAAGAAAGAGUAAAAUAACUGGAGAAAUUACGAGUACUUGAGAAAUGCUACUUAUAUGGAUUGAAUUCCAUAGGCCAUGACUGAGAAGUAAAUAAAGAGAAAAGAUUUCUCAUGUCCAAAUGGGUCAUUGCACAUUCUCAAAACACUUUUAGUUUUUACUUACCAAACACUUUACCACUACUUGUAACACUUGCAACACUUAUGAAAAGCCAGUUUACCAAACACGCAGUUAUUUUGCUUUCCAGCUACUUAUUCUUAGAAUAAGUAAAAGUCAGCUGUUUUUGGAAGCCACAACUGUACCAAACACACCCUUAGUAGAAGAGAUGAAAUCUUUAUUAAACUUAUUCUCUUUCAAAGUUUUUUAAUUUGUGUGGAAGUGUUUUCAGCUGUAAUCAUCUAGUGUGGUGUGUUUUUAUUGCAAAUAAGUGUUUGUACUUGUAAUUAUGAAUACCUAACCCGAGAAUGAGGCUCUGGGUUUUGUAUUUGUAGUUAUGUUGAAAUAAAUAAAUUCUAUCUUGUACCCAUUAUUUGGUCACAAAAAAAUUUAAUAAAUAUAUGCAUAUUUGAGUCUGCUUUGUGUUUCUAUUUUACAAAUACUUUGCUUUUAAGAAUUAAGAAUUUUCCAUACUAAAACAACAGUGAUUCCGUCAUAUUAAGUAACUAUUUAGACAAUAAGUCGUUAGGUGAAAUAGUGGCAUGUUGAAGGCUAAUUCUUAUGGUGGUGAGUCUUAGUCUUAUUAAAUAAAGUAAUAAGAAAACUUAAAAAGAAAUAUCUACCCUUUUUUGUUUACUACACUAUAACGGAAUAGUUGCCAAAUUUAACGGAAGUAUGUCAUUGAUAGCAAAGUAGGAGUUUAGGUACUACAUUGACAGCUUUGUAAGUCUGGGUAUCAAACUGACUGAGACACAAGAGUUGAGACACUGUUGGUGAAGUUUUCUUUUUGUACAUAUAUAGCCCUAGGAAAUGUAAUCAGAUAUUGCACAGUUAAAUCAGAAUGGCUAACCGAUAUGCUUAAACAGUGAUGCAAACUUAUCUACUACUUUAUAUAUGCAAUUAGUUCUUCUAAUAUAAAUCACUUAGGGUACCAUUUAUAUAUGUAAAUUAAGAAUUGAAAUUUGUUUAGUCCUUAUGGUUUGAAGUCGACAUCUGUUUAGUCUUUCUAGUUUUAUUUUAAUCUGAAUAGUCCUUAAAGUCACAAUUUUUCAUUUAAAUAGUCCUUAUGGUUUUAUUUUAAUAUGAAUAGUCCUUAAAGUCAUGAUUUUUCAUCCAAAAGCCUUUCCGACAAUUUUCUCAGUUAAAGGCCAUAAGGACUAUUUGGAUGAAAAAUCAUGACUUUAAGAACUAUUUAGAUUAAAAUAAAAUUAUAAAGACUAUUUAGAUGAAAUAUAGUAACUUUAAGGACUAUUCAGAUUAAAAUAAUACCAUAAGGACUAAACAGAUGUCGACUUUAAACCACAACGACUAUACAAUAUUUUACCCUUAAAUUAAUAAAACAUAUUUUAACACUGGUUUAGUAGAUAGUAAUCAGAAGACUAGGAACUCGAAUAUGAUUAUGACGGUGAAGUUAGAAGCCCUAGCGUUUGUCCCUCGUUGUGUUCAAAACCCUUUUCAACAUUCUAUCAAUCAUCUAGUUUGUUUUACUCUUUUCUCAUUGUUUACAAAAAUCACAAAAAAAUCUUCUUAUUUUCUUGUUAGUCAUUAGCAUAUUUUGGUCAAUUAGUUAGAGUUGAAAGUUAGUUAUCCAUCCCUAGUUGGAACGACCUCGUAUUUGCAUAAGCUAUACUACAAACGAUUCGUGCACUUGCAAAGUUAUUAAAAUUUGACAACAUAACCGAUUUCAACAAUCCAAGAAUCCGACCUGUUUGCAACUUUUCAUAGACUCCAUAUAUAUUUCUAAUUUUAAUGAGACAAAGGCUUGCAAGUAAUCUGUUCCACUACAACAAUGUGGAGCAAAGGUCACACACCUGGUGUGGCCUUUGGGGGUGUUGUAUUUUUUGUUAAGUGUGGCAAAUGAGGGUAUUAAUGUAGGUAUUGGUGAGGUAUGAGGGAAAAUGCCACACAUGAUGAUUUGCAACACCUCUAAAGACCACACAUCUUGUGUGGCCUUUGCUCCAUCUUGUUGUAGUGUCCCAAGGAAACAUGCAAAACCAAUUACCAAGCAAAGCCAGGUUGCUUUGCAAUACCUAAUAUGGUUCACAGCUUCACAUAAGCCGUACACUUCUGCAAGCACAUGACAGGUACAACACAUGAUAUAAUCUUGAAACCUUAACAAGACCCUAUUACGAAUUUAUUUAUGGAAUUACAAAAAGUAAUCUUCUUAGUUUACUUAAACUUCUACUGUCAAGAUCAGUAAGUUAUCGGUGAUAAGCUCGAAAUAUACGCAACAUGCCUCACAUUAUACCUUAUUGAUUAGUUCAAAGACACAUCACUUAUUUUGCAAAGCUUGUUCUUUAGCAAAAAUAGGAUCGAGACCUUCCUAUGCUAAAGAUAACCAAAAUAUUUCAAAGAAUACAAUGUGAUUAUUGUGGACUUAUCCAUCCAGAAAUGACGGACCAUUAAAGUACUUUAUGGUUUUAGAGGAUGUUUCGAUACGCUAGUCACAUGUCGAAUAAUUAUCCACAAGAAAUGCUGCAUUUGAAAACUCUUAGCACAUCUUAUACAUCUAAGGGUUCACCACCCUAAUCACCAAGUCUAUAGGACUUGACAAUGCUAAGAGUUCACAUCAAAAGUAUUUGAUGAUUAUUGCUUGUUUAUCAGAAUCGAUGUAAAGCAUCUUGUACCCCAUUUGCAUACACAAAAUGGUCUAGCAGAAGCCACCAUCGAUGGUGGCUAGAGCACUGGUUACGCAAACAAACCUGCCUAUAUCUGUUUGGGGUUACGCAAUAUUGCACACAUACUUACUUAUUCAUUUUUAGACUCACUACUAGUCAACCAAUUAAUGUGUACCAGUUGGUAACUGGACAUGAGCCUGAGAUUUACACAUAUUUGGUUGCACAACAUAUGUGUCUAUUGUGCCCCCACAAUGUAUCAAAAAUGGGUCCUUAGAAACGAAUAUGUAUUUAUGUUGGAUACGAACCUCCAAUAAUUACAACCGAUCUCACAACUCGAUUUGCAGAUUGUCACUUUUAUAAGACAAUAUUAUCGUCGGUAGGGGGAGAUAAGAAAAAGAAUAAUCUAUGGGAACGACAUGAAUUUUCGUGUUUGUCCCACUCUGUUUCAUCCUGAUCCCCACAUAAUCAAUAUUUAGAACGUAACAGUUUCGAUGCCUGAUGCGUUUAAAGAUAUUGCUCAAGUGACGAGAUCACACAUACCAACUGCAAAUGCCUGCAAGGUCAAAAGUCCCCAAUAAGGUGCACGUCACCGCAAAUAGAGGCGAUGUAACUACACUUAGUGGAGGUGUAGUUGAGGUCGUGGCUCCCUAAAGGAAGAGGGGGAGGGCACUUACUCGCCCAAAGGAAAAAGGUGGGUAAGGCACAACCUAAUAAUCAUCAAUGUAGUGAAUCUCUGUCAUAAGAUUGUCUCUGAUUACAAUUAUGUUCAUGAAUCAAUACUGGAGGACACUCCGAUGUUUAAAUGAUUCGUGAGACAAAAUCUCAAUGAAUUACAAGAGUAUACACAUUGAUGAUAUAUUCGCACUGUUGCUCAAGAAACUAUAGAGCACGAUGAUAUUGAACCAGGUUAUGUUGAAGAAUGUCAACAAAGAGCAUAUUGACCUAAAUAAAAGUGCAAUAUCCAAGAAGAGCUAUUCUCUGACAAAGAGACAGAUAUUUGGUUUUUGGUAGUGCUAACCUUAUCAAGUGUAAUGCCCGUAGGACAUAAAUAAGUCUUUGUCAAAAAAUGUAAUGAGAAGAAUGAAGCCUUGAAGAACAAAGCUCGCCAAGUGGCGCUAAGGUUUCUCGCAACGCUUUAGAUUGACUACGAGGAGACAUAAUCUCUCAUAAUGAAUGCAACUCAUCGAUGUGGUUACUAGUUAUCUCCAUGGGGAUCUUAAUUGAGAGAUAUUUAUUAAAGGGCCUAAUGGCCUUACACUAUCCAACUCAAGUAACUUUAAACCACGGAGUGCGUUUGCAAUUAGAAUUGAAACACUCACUAUAUUAAAAGUGACUACUUUGUUGGGAAGGGAUAUAAAUGAUGAACUAUGGCCUCAUAAAGGAAACAGGUUCGGAUUUGCAAUUAUAGUCAUCUAUAUGUUGAUGCUAUGAAUAUAGUAGGUAUUCUUGAUGAAAUAAAAGAAACCGCGAGCUACAUAAAAUCCGAAUUGAAAUGAAUAAUCUUGGGAAACUCAAUUAACAAUGAGUUUAUGUCAGUACCCACCCUGAAUUUCACCCUGAAAUCCGAAGUAAAUCCUGCGGGGUCCAUCUAUCUUCAAGGAAAAUUUACUAAAAAUUCAGCAUAAUCUAUCUUGAAAAUGAACAACCCUUACCUGAAAAAUUCCAAAUAAACAAUUCUAUUAAAAAUCAUCCAUCCUCAACUCCUGGUGCCUUCAUGCUCCCCAAGUUCAUCACAUCUCCCAAUAUAUCAAUUAAUCAUCUAAAAGCAUCCCACAACCAACAACAAAGACAUUUAAUAAUUUACUACUGGUCUUUCAGAGCAUAUCUAAAGAUGAAUGAAAAACAAUGAAAACGAAUAAGCGAAAGCAGCCCCUGACUGUGCCUCGACUCCAUGUACGCUCGACCUCAUUUAAACUUAUCCUGCAUACUGGGCAUUUAAAACCAAAAGGCCCAGGGGAAAGUAAUUUAAAAACGUUAGAGUGAGUGGACAAAAAUAAAUUAAACAAUUUAACAAAAUACGUAAUUUAAAUACUUUCCCACAUUUCAGUUUUAAAAACUUAGCUGCACGCAACUUUCGUAAAUCAUAUAACUUAAAUUCCAGAAACCCAAUAGAAUGGACAAACCAAUCCCGCUGGUUAAUCAAAUAAAGAAAUCUCGUAAGAAGAGAUAAACCAACCCCGCUGGUUAAUCAAAUACAUAACAGAGAAAAAUAAAAUAACAGGAAAAGUUAUCACCAUGUAAGAGGAGCCUCCAAGGCUCGGGUCGGUGCCUCCCAGACCAUAGUAGCGUCCCACGCUAAGUGCUAAACUCACCUAUGGUGAGGACAGCUAAUAAGGCUAGCUAACAAUAAAUAAAAAUAUCUGAUCGGUGCCUCCCAGGCUAUAGUAGUGUCCCAUGCUAAGCGCUCGACUCACCUAUGGUGAAGACCGCUAAUAAAGCUAGCUAGUAAUGAAAUAUAAGCGACCCUAUAUUUUGGUGACUAAAAACAUACGACAUCACUUAAAUCCAUUAAACUUCCCCAAGAUCAUAUGAAUGGUACGGUUACGGUUCCCAACCGUACUUGAAAAUCAUCAUAAGAAAUUAUAUUAAAACUCAAUGACGUGUCUCACACGUCAAAAUAUUCUCAAAGCCAUAAUAUAAGCGAGGUUUAAUUAACAAGUAAAAAUCGUAAUUAAUAUCUCAAACCAAAAUACUCGCUAAAAUAUUCUCAAGGUCAAGAUCGAUAUUCCACAAAUAAAUGCGAAAAUUAUAAAUAGCGAACUACCGAUAAUCCCAUUUUCGGAAAUCUUUUAUAUAAAUCUCAAGUCCACAACUAAAGCAAUCAUAAUGAAAUCCAGAAUUUAUAAAGAAUAUCCAAACUCAAAUACCAAAUUAGUAAUCCGAGCUCAAAUUCAUAAAUCAUGACCCAUAAUUAAUCAAUGCUUCAAACUUAAAUACUUUCCAAGAUCAUUUCGUAAGCCGAAAUUAUAAUAUAAGUUCGGAAAAUAAAAUAAUAAAUUAUAAAAUCUUGCAUGCAUAUUUAUUUAAAACCAAAAUGUCCACUCACAAAUUUAAGCAUAAGCCCGACGAUAUCCACAUCACCACUCAAGCGAGGUUCCCUUCGUAUCCUGGCACAAUAAAUAUGCUUAGGACCAAACUUCAAUUCCGGAAAAUAAAUACUUGAAUAUAAACACCCAAAUCUCUUCCGCUUAACCCACUACUCUUACUAGGGUUAAGCUUACCGGAUUCACACCAAACUCCACCACAACCUUAAUUCAUCAAUUCUAACAUUCUAGAAUAAAUACCAAGGAAAUCCAACGGCCAGAUUUUCACUAUAACAACCGCCAAAAUUCUCAAUUUUUGAAAAAUCCCAAACCUAACCAAAACUCCUCCAAAAAUUCCAAACAUUACAUCAUUAAACUCCUCUCAUUAAAACAAACUCAAAAACAUGAAAAACUACCCCUAAGCGGCAGCGGCGCCGUCUGUUCCGCGGGCAGCGGCGGCUGGCCAGCCCAAUUUCAGGCGACCUCCAAUGGCUACCAAAUUUUGACACAAUUUUCCUCUCAACAUUCCAAACAACUUUCAUAACUACCACAAAGUCCAAUUUCAAGCCUAACUAGGGUAAUCGAAGACAAACAUAAAAAAAAAUCUCAAUUUCAAACCUUAGAAUUUCAAACCUUUGAUUCUCCUUACCUAGCUCGAGUUAGGUCGAAUCCUUUUAGGGGUUUGCUGCUGGAAGGGAGAGCUUCAAGACGAGACCGGUAGCUCUGAUUUUUUUGGCCGGAAAAAGGAGUUCCGGCGAGAACACCUCCGCGGCACAGCCGUGACUUCCAGGCGAUCAUGCUCCUUCACGGUGGCGCAACAUGGGCUUCCACCUACCUAGACUUGUUGUCACAUCCCGACCCUUAUAUUUUUACCUUAUUUACUAGCGUGAUUAUAAUAUGAAUUUUACCGUCUCCGUCUUUGAGUUAAUAGUUUAAGUGGUCCCUAGAGGGGUUCGGGGACGAUUAUGUGCGGAGGAUUAUUCGUAUGAGGAAAAAUACGACGACGGUAAAAAUGGUAAAUUUAGCUAGUAAAAGGUAAUUUUUAUUCGGGUAUUAUUUUUCGGGGUGUUUUUAUUUUUGAGUUGGGUUGAUAAGGGUGGACCGGUUGGGAGGCCCAACCCAUUUCUUUUUUUUCUCUUCUUCUCUCUUUUCUCUUCCUCCUCUCUCCCGUGCCCUUUCCCCCCUGCCGGAUCGUCCAGCCGCCGUCCGGCCAGCCACCGGCCGCCGCUCCACCCCAGUUCGGACCCCCAUCUCCUCCUCUCCCACCCCGGCCUAGCCCCCGAGCCUCUAACCCGCCGGAAACACCGGGAAGCAUUUCGCCGGAACUCCCUCCUCCGGCCACCAAUCCGGGCAAGCUUGGUAUGGUUUUGUAGCCCUCCAACCCAGCAGUCUUGCCCUAAAAGGACUCACUCCCUCUUGAGCUAGGUAAGGAGAAAUUUGAGGUGGAAGUUUUAUGGUGUUUUUGAUGUUUUUAGUCGAUUGCCCUAGUUAGGCUUGGAAUUGGUGUUUGUGCUAGUUAUGAAAGUUGUAGAGCUUGAUGAGAGGAUUAUUCUGUCAAAAUUUCAUAGGUUUUGGAGGUCGCCGGAAUUGACUUCCGGCCGCCGCUGCCGGCGGAGCCACCGGCGGCGCCGCCGCCGGUUAGGAGAUUUUUAGGGUUUUAAGUGUGGAAUAUUAAGAGGAGUAUAUUGAUGUGAUUUAUGGAAUUUUUGGAUGAGAUUUGGAUAGGUUUGUGAAUUUCCGAAGUUUGGUAUUUUUGGCGGUUAAUUAAUGUAGAAUCCGGCCGUAGGAUUUAAGUCGUAUUUUGGAGAGGUUGUAUUUACGACUGUUGAGUAUGAUAUUUAAGUUCGGAUUGUUCCGAUUUAAGAAUAUCGAAGUUAGGCAAUGAUGAGCGUAUUUAUGGUUCUCGGGUAAUUUUGCCUAUUUUGAUUAAAUAUUGGAUUAUUGGUUGGGAAAUUAAUAUUAUAUUUGGAACAGGACGUGAGGAGGCUCGAGCAGACGAGGCCCCAGAUCGACAUCAGGCUUAGGCCAAAUUUGUGAGUGGACGUUUAUUUUAAAUAAAUGCAUGCUAUAGUUCAUGGUUGAACAAUUAAAUGUCGUGGAGUAUUNNNNNNNNNNNNNNNNNNNNAGUUUUCAUCAGUAGGUUACCUGUUCAACCUACUCGUGUUUUCUUACUUCCGCUUGUGUUUAGUAGCUCUGAAUACCUUGGGAUUAUUGUAUAUUACGUGUAGAAUUUCGGAAGGAUAAUUAUGUGAUGUUUGGAAGUGUUGAUUUAAGAGUGUAAUUUGGAAUUUUCGAGUUAGGGUUGUCCAUCUGCAAGGGAGAUUUUCUUAAUCUUUUCAGUAAAUUUUCCUUGGAGGUGGUCCCCGCACGACUUACUCCGGGUUUCCUUGGAGGUGGUCCCCGCACGACUUACUCCGGGUUUCAGUGUGAAAUUCAGGGUGGGUCGUGUCACUUGUAGAGGAUGCUCCAAGCUUCAAUUUGAUACCAAGCUUGCCGCCUAUCUUGGCCGGAUGGCGGCGGACGGGGGCGUUGAAGUCCGGCGGUCGAAACUGGCGCGGGAGAGGAGAGAGAGAGAGAGAAAGUAACUUUCUGAUUUCUACCUUACCUCUUCUGGUAAGUUUCCCUUUUUAUACUCCCAACUGAAAUAAUAACUAUUGUUUUUAGACCAUAACUUCUUCAUACGAACUCCGUUUUAAGCGUACCACGUGUCCACGAACUCUGUUUAACGUCCUAUACGACUUUCAUGAAGAAAGUUUUCCCAAAUUUUAGACGAAGGAAAAGUCAACUUUUGAAGCCUUAAAUAGUAAAUGGUUACUCAAAACAGUAAAAGGUCAAAGUAACCUAAAAAUCAAUAACCGCAAAUUAAUUGAAGAACCGGGAUGUGACAGUUUAUGGAAUACUAAUCCACCAGUUUACAUGUGUCUAAAUGAUUCUCAAGCAUUUACAUGGACAAAAUGUACACUGUUAGCACUCCCAAUGAUCAGUCGAUGUUUGGAUGUAAAGAA
Molecule: long non-coding RNA, 46142 nt
Filed under: Fragaria vesca (wild strawberry)
Lineage: Eukaryota; Viridiplantae; Streptophyta; Magnoliopsida; Rosales; Rosaceae
Description: long non-coding RNA (FVES_LNC000958)
Source: RNAcentral